CAGCAGGUAUCUGAUCAUGGGUUAGCUUCGGGUCGCUUGUGGCGUUAAGCAUUGUGUCACGACUAGGGGGUAGCCUCAGGAUGUGACAAAACUUGGUAUCAGAGCCUAAGAUUUUAAAGUGUCCUAGGGUGUUAGAAAGCCACGUUGAGUAGAGUCUUGUGCAUAGGUGUGAAGCAUGCCACACUUAUGGACAAGAGGCUAUAAGAGGUUUUUAGGAAAGUUUCCAUUCUUUCAGUAUUCAUGUCAUGCGAAAGAGCAUGACCUCCAUUGAAUUCCCUUUUCUAACUCAUUUUUCACUUUACUUACAGAAAAUACCUCUCAGAAGAAAUAGUAAAAGAAAAAAGGGGGAUUAACCCACACCACCUGUUCAGGAAGAUCUCCUGAACGACUAUGCUUCCAACAUUGAGUUCAGGGCCGUUUUCAUGGCUUUGGCCCAUUUAGUAUCUACCCAGACUAACCAGUAGACUAUUACUCUAGCCAAUCUAAUAAUAAAUACAAUUACAUCAAGGAUCCAAGACUUCACUCGAAUGAACCCUCUUUUGUUUUCAAGAUCUAAGUCUGAAGAGGAUCCACAUGAGUUUCUAAAUGGGGUGUAGAAAGUGAAAGACAUCAUGGGUGUCACUUCUAGUGAGAGUGCAGACUUAGCUAUGUAUCAGUUGUAGGGAGUAGCUAAUACCUGGUUUAAGCAGUGGAAGGAAGAUAGAGGUAUUGAGGUUGGACCUACAGAGUGUGUAAGGCCCACCAAAAUUUCUAAGCUUAAUUUAGUCCUUUAAGCUUUUCAAGGGGUCCCAAACUUAAAAAAAACUCUAGCUAAGUUCCCAUACUUAGCUUAUUUUUGGCCUUCGAAAGUUGGCAAUCUCAUUUUGCCACCUUAAUGUCCUUUGAUGGUCCGUAUGUUUGUUAAUUCAUUAUCAGAGAGGUCAAUAGGUUUUCCCAGACAAGUUUUGGAUUUUUUAGACCUUGAUUAGACCACAUUUGGUGUCCCAAAAUAGUGGACCAAUGUGAUCGUGGCGUGCCACAUCACCCAUCACGUUGGUUAACAUUGUUGCAGGGACUGCCAAUGAAACUAUUGGGGCUUAGCGCGAUCAUGGUGCGAUGCAUUGGGUAUCGUGUCGAUUCCCAAUUUUAGUCAUUAAAUGUCUGCAUUUUUAAGGGCAAAAGGGUUAAAUUCCCACCCCUAUAUAAACCCAAUAAUAUGUAAUUCAGCCAUUUUCACCCAAAAUAUACUAGUUUCUCUCAAUUUUUCUCAAGAACAAGUUUAGGGUUUUCAAUUGGGGAUUCAAAUUCAAGGAAAUUCCACCGUCAAACUUCGUAGAAUCAAGAACUAAGGUAUGCAUAGUGUUCAUUCAUGGAUUCCUCCCAUCCAUAAAGUUCAAGAAUCAAGUUUUAAAUCUUCUAUUGUGAAUAUUUUGUUGUGGGUUGAUUAUGUUCAUGAGAUUAUGAUGAUGUGAUUCCUAAGAUGGAAUAUUUAUGUGUUGUUCAUGAAACUAUGUUAAUGUGUGGCUUGAAAUCUAUAAGUUUAGAUGAUUCAUGGAGUUUUGAAGGGAUAAUUUGAUGAUUCCGACUAUGCCUUAAGUUGUGCAUGCAAGGGGUUGGAUAAAAUGCCUAAGGGACUAUAAACUAUGCAUCAUAGCUCAAUGGUGACCCAAAUAAUAAGUGCAUGUUUUACCCUUAUGAUCACAAUGACUUCUAUGAUAUUUUUGUGCAUUAUAAAUGUUUUAUGGGAUACUCAUGAGACUAGUUGAUGAAAUUAUGACAUGUUUAUAUGUUGUCCCAUUAAUGUAUAAGAUUAUGAUAACCAUGUGCUUCAUGAAAACCCCAACUUAUAGUAUUAUGAAUUGUGGACUUUAGCUCUAUAGUCAAGAAGUGUUGUGUCUUGUCAGUUUCAUUCUAUCCAGUCCUGGGGGUACUUGUACCUGAUAAUUUAGUUGUGUGCCUAGAGCCAGAGUCAGUUUUUAUGAUACUCUCAGUCAAGCCAUGAUCACUAGAAUUCAGUAAGUUAUAGAACUCAGGGAAACUCAGUAAUCUCAUAAACUCAUUCAGUUGACAGAAAUAAAUAACAUUCCAUCAGUCAAUGGAAUACAGCGAACUCAGUCCAGUUACUUCCAGUAUGAUCAAGUUCAGUGUUCAUUCAUAUGGGAGUAGGAUUCAGCACCGAGUGAACCCGAGGAUGGGAAUAAACACUGCCAGAUGAGGGUGUGAUUCUUAAAAGCAAUCCUUGCAUUCCAGAACUAUGCAGCUAGCUUAGGUUGAGAUAUCAACACUAACAGAUGAGGGUUGAUGAGGUGGAUUAACAUUGUCAGAUGAGGGUCCCACCGUUCUCUUUUGGGGACACUGUCAGAUAAAGGUUACCCAUAGCUUGUCCUUACCAGUGACAUGGUAUUGACACCUUCCAAUUGAGGUUACAGAUUGGACCCUAACUCAGCUAUAUUGCUUUAUUUGGGGCGUGUCGGUUAGAUAACUACUUCCCAUAGUUACAUUUGCAGUCUCAGCAAUAGAACUCAAAUAGUUCUACAAAAUUCAGGACUGUCAGAUACAGUCACCCAGUUCAGUACGGAACUCUGCUAGUUCCACCAGAAAUAGGACUGUUAGAUACAGUCACCCAGUUUACUAUGGAACUCUGCUAGUUCCACCAGAAAUAGGACUGUCAAACACUGUCAUUCAAAUAAUAGUUUAUCAGUUAUACUAACUUAUGUUAUCAGUAUUCAGAUUCAGUGAUGUAAUGAUCUCAGUCACAGUUCACGUAUACAUGCAUGUAUUGUCAUAUUUAUUUUAUUCAGUCAGUUAGUAUUGUUCAUGCAUAUAAAAUCCUUGCAUUCAUCCUACCUCACUUGCAUAUCAGUACAUUCAAUCAUACUGGCGCAUUUGAUCUAUGGUGUUUAUAUACCAUAGGUUCAAAAGCAUGAGUUCCACAAAAUCCUUAGUAGAUCUAUCAUUCGUCAGACUAGCAUUGAGUUCUCAUCAUUCGAGGAUGUUAUUAUUUGAUUAUUUAAUUCUUUCAAGACUUAGUUAUUUCAGUAGUUGGAGUUAGUUGGGGGACAUGUCCCAUCAACUCCUUAUUCAGAUAGUUUAGAGGCUAUUCAGACUAUCAUGUUUAGACAGUUAUUUCAGUUAUUUUGGUAUUGAUAUACCAUAUUUUUAGAUGUUAUGAUUUAUCAGAUAUUUGAACCUUAUGGCCUUUCAGCCUUUUAUUCCAUAUUUAUACAGUAUAUUACGUAGUGGUCAGAUACACAUAUCAGUCAUGGGUUAGCUUGUGGUCCUUUAGGGUCAUGAGCACCAUAUGGCAUUUCGGGUGUCAGAUUCGGGGUGCUACAAACUUGGUAUCAGAGCCUAAGGUUCAACAGUAUCAUAGGAAGUCUGAAAGCCGCAUCUAGUAGAGUCUUGUACAUAGAUGUGUUGUGCACCACAUUUAUGUGCAGGAGGCUAUAAGAUGUUUUAGAAACAGUUUCCUAUCUUCCAGUAUUCAUGUCAUGUCACUGAAUAUAAUCUUAAGUUAAUCUCUCAAUCUAGUCCUUUUCUCUUCCAUUUACAAAACACGCCCCCCAGGAAGAGAACUGGAAAUUAGUCAGCCUCUCAGCCCAAAGAUCUUUUGGGCAAACAUGUCUCUCAUGCAGAGUUCAAAGCUGUAUUCACUACUCUUGCUCAGUCAAUUGUUGUUCAAAAUGAAUGACCAGUUGUCAUUCCGUCCAACCCAAUGGCUAAUUCAGCUGCAGACAGGAUUUAGGACUUCACCUGAAUGAAUCCUCUAUCUUUUUUCUGGUCUAAGUUUGAUGAGGACCCUCAGGAAUUCCUUGAUCAGGUUUAGCAGGUUACAGAUAUCAUGGGGGUGACUCCUAGUGAGAGUGCUGAGGUAGCUGCAUUUUAGUUGAUGGAUGUGGCUCACACUUGGUCCAAAUAGUGGAAGUCAGAAAGAGCAAUUGAUGCAGGGUCGGUAGAGUGGGAGGAGUUUGACACCAUAUUCUUAGAUAGAUUUUUUCCCCUGGAUCUUAGAGAAGCUAAGGUGUUAGAAUUUAUCAACCGCAGGCAGGGCAACAUGACGGUGAAAGAGUAUUCUCUUAAGUUUACUCAAUUAUCCAGAUAUGUUCCUCAUAUGGUGGCAGAUAGCAGGGCUAAGAAAAGUAAGUUUGUUUCAGAGGUGAAUGAUAGUGUGGUAAAUUAGUGCAGGUCUGCAAUGUUGAAUAGUGAUAUAGACAUAGCCAGGCUUAUGAUCCAUACUCAGCAAAUAGAAGAGUAUAAGAUUAAGAUGAGAGAGAAGAAGAAGAAGAAGAAGAGAGCAAGGACAGGUGGUUUUAACUUUGCUCAGCCUAAGUCAGAGGGAUGAAAUCGUUCUCAGUUCCAUCCUAAGUCAUCCGUUCCAUCUCCUUCUUCAGUUAGUGCUCUAGUACCAAAAUUUAGAGAUAACAAUAGAGAUAGGGUGGCAGGCUCUAAGACUCAGAGCAGUGUUAGCAUUGCCAGAACUAAUCCCUUUUGUCACACUUGUGGUAAGAACCAUAAGGGUAUUUGCAGAGCUAACAGCGAUGUUUAUUUUGGAUGUGGCAAACCAGGCCACAGAGUUAGAGAUUAUCCCCAUUUAGGUUAUCAGGGUCAGCAUAACUGUUCUUUAGCAAAGUCCGAUCACCAGAAUCAGCAGAGUGCUACCUCCAGUGCUACUAGUGGGCAACUCCCAAAUAGACUCUAUGCUCUUCAAUCCUGAUAGGAUCAUGAAAAUUCUCCUGAUAUAGUCACUGGUACAUUACAGAUCUUUCAUGUACACGUUUAUGCUUUGCUAGAUCCAGGAAAUUCCUUGUCUUUUGUUACUCCUUACAUAGCAGUUGAUUUUUGAGUCAGUCCCAAAAUUCUAGUAGAGCCCUUCUCAGUCUAUACAUUAGUGUAAAACCAUCAUAGCCCGAUGGGUAUACAGGAACCGUUCGGUUAUAAUAUUUCAAAGUCACUUUAGUAGACUUAGUCAAAUUAGAGAUUACUGAUUUUGAUGUCUUUCUCGGCAUAGAUUGGCUUCAUCCUGCUAUGCCAUAGUCAACUAUAGAAAUAGAGUUAUCCAGUUUUAAUUUCCAAAGGAAUCUAUCUUCGAGUAGAAGGGUAGUAGUUUAGCUUUCAGAGGUCAACUUAUUUCCUACCAUCGAGCACAGAAAAUGAUAUCAAAGGGAUGUGUUUAUCAUCUUGUUCGAGUUAAGGACACUAGUUCCAAAACUCCCAGUCUUGAAUCAGUCUCAAUAGUGAAUAAAUAUUAAGAUGUAUUUCCUGAAGAUCUUCUUGGAAUUCCUCUCGAAAGGAAAAUAGACUUUGGCAUUGAUCUUCUUCCAGAUACUCAGCCUAUAUCUCGCCAUACAAAAUGGCACCAGCAGAACUCAAAGAAUUGAAAGAAAAAUUAAAGGAUCUCUUAUAUAAGGUAUUCAUUAGACCCAGUGUGUCCCCGUGGGGUGCACUAGUCCUAUUUGUGUGAAAGAAAGAUGGUUCUCUCAGAAUGUGUAUCGAUUACCGUUAACUCAAUAAAGUCACGGUCAAGAACAAGUAUCCUUUUACCUGAAUCGAUACUUAUUUGACCAACUUUAUGGUGCAUAUUUCUCUAAGAUAGACCUCAAAUCAGGCUGCCAUCAACUCAGAGUCAGAGAAUAUGACAUUUUGAAAAUAGUCUUUCGUACUUAAUAUGGUCACUUUGAAUUCUUAGUCAUGUCCUUUGGGCUUAUCAAUGCCCCAGAAGCCUUCAUGUACUUGAUGAACCAUGUUUUCAAGUAGUACUUGGACAUGUUCAUCAUAGUUUUCAUAGAUGAUAUUCUUGUCUAUUCCCGCAGUGAACAGGAUUAUGAAGGACAUCUCAGAGUAGUAUUGCAAACUCUCAGAAAUCAUUAGUUGUUUUCCAAAUUUAGUAUGUGUGAAUUUUGGCUAAGGUCAGUAGCAUUCCUUGGUCAUAUAAUUUUUGGCGAUGGAAUUAGAGUUGAUCCUCAAAAGACCGAAGCGGUAAGAAACUGGCCUUACUCUAUCUCUCCAUCAGAUAUCAGGAGUUUAUUGGGUUUUGCUGGCUAUUACAGAUGGUUUGUUGAGGGAUUUUCAUCUAUUUCAUCCCCUAUAUCCAUAUUGACUCAGAAGAAAGUCAAGUUUUAGUGGUCAGAUCCUUGCGAGAAGAGUUUUCAGGAGUCGAAGACCCGACUUACCUAAGCUCUAGUUUUGGCUCUUCCAGAAAGAUCUGAUGGGUUUGUAGUGUACUAUGAUGCAUCCACAGUAGGUUUGGGUUGUUUCCUCAUGCAGCAUGGUAAGGUCAUAGCCUACACCUCCAUACAGCUUAAGCCCCAUAAGAAGAAUUAUCUGAUUCAUGAUCUUGAGUUAGCAACCAUAGUUUUUUCCUUAAAGAUUUGGAGGCAUUAUCUACACAGAGUUUAUGUAUAUGUGUUCACAGAUCAUAAAAGCCUUCAGUAGGUAUUCUCUUAUAAAGAUCUCAAUCUUCAUCAGAAAAGGUGGUUAGAGCUCUUGAAAUAUUAUGACAUGAGUGUCCUUUAUCAUUUAGGCAAGGCCAACAUAGUGGCCAACGCUCUCAGUAAACUGUCUAUGGUUAGUGUUGCUCAUGUUGAGAACAAUAAGAGGAAUCUAGCUCAAGAAGUCCAUCAGUUUUCUAGACUAGAUGUCCACCUAGUUGAUUCAGAGAGGGUAAUUUAUGGGUUUAGAUUAGUUUAGAAUCAUCUCUAGUUUCUGAGGUAAAAGAAAAGCAAGACAGAGAUCCCAUUCUAGACAAGUUGAAAGAGUCAGUCACGGAUCAAAAAGUAGAGGUUUUCUCCCAAGGGGGAGAUGGUGUAUUGCAUUGUCAGAGUCAUCUGUAUGUGCCAAGUGUAGAUGACUUGAAGCAGUAAAUUCUCGCAGAAGCGCAUGGUGCACGCUACUCUAUUCAUCCAAGGAACAAAGAUGUACUGUAACUUGAGAGAUAUCUAUUGGUAGAGUGGUAUAAGGAGAGAUAUUAAAGAGUUUGUGGCUAAGUGCUCUACAUGUUAGCAGAUUAAGAUAGAGCAUCAGAAACCUAGUGGGUCCAUGCAGGAGUUCAAUAUUCCUACUUAAAAGUAAGAAGAAGUAAACAUUGACUUCAUGAUGGGUUUGCCUCAUACUCGUCAUUAGCAUGAUUCAGUUUGGGUCACUGUAGAUCGAAUGACCAAGUUCGUUCAUUUUCUUCCAGUCCAUACCUCCUACUCAGCCGAGGAUUAUGCCAAACUCUAUAUCAGGGAGUUGGUCAAAUUGAACGGUGUUCUAUUUUCCAUUGUCUCAGAUAGAGAUAACCAGUUUACCUCUCAUUUCUGGAAAGCAUUCCAAAAUGUUCUUGGUACCUGAGUUUAACUCAGUACAGCCUUUCAUCCUCAGAUAGAUGGUCAAGUAAAAAGGACCAUUCAACCCUUGAAAGAUAUGCUAAGGGCAUGUGAAAUUGAUUUCAAGGGUAGUUGGGAUGACCAUUUGCCUUUCAUUGAGUUUGCAUACAACAACAACUAUCAUUCCAGUAUUCAGAUGGCUCCAUUCGAAGCUCUCUAAGGUAGAAGAUACAGAUCUUCAGUCAGUUGGUUCAAAGUUAGUGAGGCCUCAGUUAUACAGCCUAACUUGGUAUUCAAUGCCUUAGAAAAAGUCCAAUUGAUUAGAGAUAGACUUCGGGCUGCUCAUAGACGAUAGAAGUCUUACGUAGAUGUACAUAGAAAAGAUCUCGAGUUUAAGAUUGGUUAUCAUAUAAACCUAAAAAUCUCUCCCAUGAAGGGAGUGAAGAGAUUCAGCAAGAAGGGAACGCUCAUUCCCCGAUAUGUCGGUCCCUUUAAAAUUCUCAGUCGCUUCGGCAAGGUAGCUUAUGAUCUUGAAUCGCCUUUAGAUCUAGGCUCAGUCCAUCCAGUGUUCUAUGUCUCCUUUCUAAAGAAGUGCAUAGGUGACCCAGUAGUUGUAGUCCCUAUAGAGGGCAUAGGAAUCUAGAACAAUCUCUGUUUCAAAGAGAUUCCAGUCGAAAUCCUCGACUACCAGACUCGUAGACUGAGGAACAAAGAAGUUCCUCUAGUCAAAGUUCUUCGGAGGAAUUAGUCCUUUGAGGGAGCUAGUUGGGAAGCAGAAGCAGGCAUACGGACAAAGUAUCCUCACCUCUUGUCCACUAAUUCAGACUCAACCCAAGGUAAUAACUUUUCUUAAAGCUUAUUCUUAUUUCAUGUCCAAAUUUAAGUUACAACUUGGCAUUCAUUCUCAUGAUCAGAUUCUCAUUAUAAACUCGAUAUUAAAUUACCAUUGCAUACCCAGUCAUAUGUUCAUGCAUUAAGUCAGUCACGUAUUCAUGCAUCAGAUAUGCAUCCUCAUUAUGAUAAACUCAGUUUAUCAAAAAUCUCAGUCAUGCAAUCAAGAAUCAAUUACGCAUGUAUCAGAUAUGCAUGUUCAGUAUGAUAUAUUUAGUUUAUCAGUCAUGUCAGUCAUGUAAUCAUGUUAUAGUUAUUCAUGUCCUAUAUGUACUUAAGUUAUCAUUUCUCUCCUCUCAGUCAGUUUCAUUUGAGGAUGAAUGUAUCCAAGGAGGAGAUAUUAUAAGGCCCCGCAAAAUUUCUAAGCUUAAUUCAGUCCUUUAAGCUUGUCAAGGGGCCCCAAACUUAGAAAAAAAACUCUAGUUAAGUUCCCAUACUUAGCUUAUUUUUGGCCUUCAAAAAUUGGCAAUCUCAUUUCGCCACCUUAAUGUCCUUUAAUAGUCCGUAUGUUUGUUGAUUCUUGAUCAGAGAGGUCAAUAGGUGUUCUUGGACAACUUUUGGAUUUUUUGGACCUCGAUUAGACCACGUUUGGUGUCCUAAAACAAUGGACCAACGCAAUCUUGGCACGCCGCGUCGCCCAUUGUGUUGGUUAACAUUGUUGCAGGGGCUUCCAGUGAAACUACUGAGGCUUGGCGCAAUCAUGGCGUGAUAUAUCGGUUAUCACGUUAUUGCCCAAUUUUAAUCAUUAAAUGUCUACAUUUUUAAGGGCAAAAGGGUUAAUUUCCCACCCCUAUAUAAACCUAAUAACAUGUAAUUCAGCUAUUUUUUACCCAAAAUAUACUAGUUUCUCUCAAUUUUCCUCAAGAACAGGUUCAGGAUUUUUAAUUAGGGAUUUAAAUUCAAGGAAAUUCCACUGUUAAACUUCGUAGGAUCAAGAACUAAGGUAUGCAUAGUGUUCAUUAAUGGAUUCCUUCCAUCCAUGAAGUUCAAGAAUCAAGUUUUAAAUCUUGUACUAUGAAUAUUUUGCUGUGGGUUGAUAAUAUUCAUGAGAUUAUGAUGAUGUGAUUCCCAAGUUGGAACUUUAUGUGUUGUUUAUGAAACUAUAUUAAUGUGUGGCUUGAAAUCUAUAAGUUUAGUCGAUUCAUGGAGUUUUGAAGUGAUAAUUUGAUGAUUAUUCCUAUGCCUUAAGUAGUGCAUGCAAGGUAUUUGAUAAAAUGCCUAAGGAACUAGAAAUUAUGCAUCAUAGCUCAAUGGUGACCCAAAUGAUAAGUGCAUGCUUUACCCUUAUGAUCACAAUGACUUCUAGUAUAUUGUUGUGCAUUAUAAAUGUUUUACGUGAUGCUCAUAAGACUAGUUGAUGAAAUUAUGACAUGUUUAUAUACUUUUCCAUUUAUGUAUAAGAUUAUGAUAACCAUGUGCUUCAUAAAAUCCCCAACUUAUGGUAUUAUGAAUUGUGGACUUUAGCCCUAUGGUCAAGAAGUGUUGUGUCUUGUCAGUUUCAUUCUAUCGAGUCCAUGGGGUAUUUGUACCCGACAAUUUAGUUAUGUUCCUAGAGCCAGAGUUAGUUUUUACGAAACUCUCAGUCAAGACAUGAUCACUGGAAUUCAAUCAGCUACAGAACUCAGGAUAACUCAGUAAUCUCAUGAACUCGGUCAGUUGAUAGAAAUCAGUAACAUUUCAUCAGUCAACGGAAUCCAGUAACCUCAGUCCAGUUACUUCCAGUAUGAUUAAGUUUAGUGUCUAUUCAGAUAGGAGUAGGAUUUAGCACCGAGUGAACCUGGGGAUAGGAACACACACUGCCAGAUGAGGUUGUGAUUCUUAGAAGCAAUCCUUGCAUUUCAGAACUAUGUAGCUAGCAUAGGUUGAGACAUUAACACUAUAGAUAAGGGUUGAUGAGGUAGAUUACCACUGUCAGAUGAGAGUCCUACCAUUUUAUUUUGGGGACGCUAUCAGAUUAGGGUCACCCACAGUUUGUCCUUACUAGUGGGGCGAUAUUGACACCCUUCCAAUUGGGGUUAUAGAUUGGACCCCAACUAAGAUAUAUUAUUUUAUUUGGGGCAUGUAGGUUAGAUAACUACUUCCAAUAGUUACAGUCUCAGUCUCAAUCUUAGUAAUAGAACUUAGAUAUUUCUAUAAAAUUCAGGACUGUCUGAUACAGUCACCUAGUUCAGUACGGAACUCAGCUAGUUCCACCAGAAAUAGGACUAUAACACACAGUCAUUUAGAUAAUAGUAUAUCGGUUAUACGAACUUAUUUUAUCAAUAUUCAGAUUCAGUGAUGUCAUGAUCUCAAUCACAAUUCACGUAUUCAUGCAUGUAUUCUCACAUUCAUGUUAGUCAGUCAGUUAGUAUUGUUCAUGCAUAUACAACCCUUGCAGUCAGCCUACCUCACUUGCAUACCAGUAUAUUUAAUUGUACUGAUGCAUUUUCACUAUGGUGUUUUAUACCAUAGGUUCAAAAGGACGAGUUCCAGAGCAUACUUAGUAGAUCCACCAUUCAGCAGACAGACUUGUAAUGAUUCCUCAUUAUUCGAGGAUGUUAUAAUUUGAUUAUUUCAUUCUUUUAGUACUUAGUUAUUUAAGUAGUUGGAGUUAGUAGGGGGACAUGUCCCAUCAACUCCCUAUUCAGACAGUUUAGAGGCUAUUCAAACUAUCAUGUUCAGACAGUUAUUUCAGUUGUAUUAGUAUUGAUAUAUCGUAUUUUCAGAUGUUAUGAUUUAUCAGAUAUUUUAACCUUAUGGACUUUUAGCCUUUUAUUCCACAUUUAUACAGUAUAUUAUAUAGGGCUCAGGUACAGAUAUCUAUCAUAGGUUAGCUUGUGGUCCUUAGAGGUCAUGAGAAUCGUGUAGCAUUUUGGGUGUCAGAUUCAGGGCGUUACAGAGUUGGGGAGUUUUCCACUACUUUCUAAGACAAGUUCUUCCCACUAAAGUUGAGGGAGGAUAAGGUGCAGGAGUUUAUCAAUUAGAAGUAGGGUAGUAUGAAUGUGAAGGAGUACUCACUUAAGCUUACAUAGUUGGUGAGGUAUGAUCCAACCAUAGUGGCUGACUCUAGGUCCAGGAUAAGUAAGUUUAUGUCUGGUGUGGCUGAUAGUAUAUUUAAGGAGUAUAGGGCUGCCAUGUUCAUGAAGGAUAUGGACCUUACUAGGCUGAUGGUUCAUGCUCAGCAAAUUGUGGAGGAGAAUCUCAAAAGAAAGGAAAAAGGGAAUAAUAUGGCUAGAACAAGUAGCUUAAACUUUUCUCAGCCAAGGUUGGAAGGUGGUAACUGUUCUCAAUUUUGCAAAAAAAUUUUACCACUAGCACCAUCUUCAUCCAGUGCGCCAGUUCCUAAGUUUAUGCAGGACAGUUGGGAUAGAGCGUCACGCUCUAAGUCCUAGGGUAGUGUGAAUAGUAUUCGUACAAAUCUUCUUUGAAGAAAGUAAAGUAAGGAACAUUAGGGUGAGUGCAUAGCAAGUAGUAAUAUGUGCUUUGAGUGUGGCAAGCCAGGUCACAGGAUCAGGGAGUGUCCGAUUUUUCCUCAUAAGGGAAGGGAUUCGCGCCAACAAAGCCAACCCAUCUUUUUAUCAGCUCCAGUAGGUCAUCCAACUUAGUAGGGUGCCACCUAUAUUUCUACUAAUAGGCAAUGUCAGAAUAGACUGUACACUCUCUAAACACGACAUGAUCAGGAAAGUUCUCUUAAUGUGGAUACGGGUACGUUACAAGUCUUCCAUCUUCACGUUUAAGCAUUGUUAAACCCCAAAGCUUCACUUUUCUUUGUAACUCUUUAUAUAGCUGUGGACUUCGGUGUUAGUCCCAAAAUAUUAGUAGAGCCUUUCUCAGUGUCUACCCCAGUGGGUAUGUCUAUUGUAGCCAGGUAAGUGUAUAGAAAUUGCCUGAUCACAAUGUCCUAAAAAGUUACUUCAGUUGACCUUGUGGAGUUAGAAAUGAUGGAUUUUGAUGUCAUUCACAGCAUGGAUUGGCUCCAUUUAUGUUAUGCCUCAAUUGAUUGUAGAAAUAGAAUUUUUCAGUUCCAGUUUCCUGAUGAACCAGUUAUUGAAUGAAGGGUUAAUACUUCAGUGCUUAAGAGUCAGUUUGUUUCCUAUCUUAAGGCAAAAAAGAUUAUAUCCAAGGGGUUUAUUUACCAUUUUGUCCGAGUCAAGGGCUCAAAUUUUGAAACCCCGAGUCUUGAGCCAGUUCUAGUACUAAAUGAAUUUCCAGACAUUCUUUUUGAAGAACUUUCAUGGGUUUCUCCCAAAAGAGAAAUUGACUUUGGAAUAGAUCUCCUUCUAGAUACCCAACCUAUCUCUAUUCCACCUUAUAAAAUGGCACCAGCUGAGCAUAAGGAAUUAAAGAAAUAGUUGAAAGAUCUCUUAGAUAAAGGUUUUAUCAGGUAAUGUUUCCCCAUAUGGUGCUUCAGAUAUAUUCAUGCACAAGAAAAAUGGUUCCCUCAUAAUGUGCAUUGACUACCAUUAGUUAAAUAAAGUCACAAUUAAUCAUAAAUAUCCUCUCCCCAAAAUUGAUGACUUAUUCAACCAACUUUAGGGUGUAAGUUAUUUCUCAAAGAUAGACCUCAAAUUUGGAUAUCAUUAGCUUGGAGUUAAAGAAUGUGACAUUCUGAAGACAGCCUUCAGAACUCAGUAUGGUCACAUUGAAUUUUUAGUUAUGACUUUUGUACUAAUGAAUACUCCUACAGUUUUUGUGUACUUGAUGAAUAGAGUGUUUAAGAAGUAUUUGGACAUAUUUUCAUAUUCUUCAUUGAUGACAUCCUUGUCUAUUCCUAUAGUGAGAAUGAUCAUAUAGACCAUUUGAGGGUUGUAUUACAGACUUUUAAGGAUCACCAGUUGUUCUCUAAGUUUAACAAAUGCAAAUUAUAGUUGAGGUCAGUAGCUUUCCUUGACCACAUAGUUUUCAGUUAUGGCAUUCGAGUUGAUCCUCAAAAGACUGAAGCAGUGAGAAAUUGGCCUAGACCCAUCUCUCCAUUAGACAUCAUGAGUUUCUAUAGUUUAGUUGGCUAUUACAGAUGGUUUGUUAAAUGAUUUUUCUUCUACUACUUCUCCCAUGUCUAGACUAACCUAGAAGAAAGUCAAAUUUCAGUGGUUAGAUUCCUGCAAGAAGAAUUUUUUGGAAUUGAAGGCUUGACUCAUUUCUGCUCCAAUCAUGACUUUGCCAAAUGGCACAGACGGGUUUGUAGUUUGUUGUGAUGCCUCUAGAGUUGGUCUUGGUUGUAUUUUAAUACAGUAAGGUAAGGCCAUAGCCUAUGCCUCUAGACAGCUUAAACCUCAUAAGAAGAAUUACCCAACCUAUGACUUUGAGUUAGAAGUAGUUGUCUUUGCCUUGCAGAUUUGGAGGCAUUAACUAUAUAGGGUUCAUGUUGAUAUGUUCACGGAUCACAAUAUUUUACAGUAUGUGUUCAUGCAUAAGGAUCUAAACCUUUAUCAAAGAAGGUGUCUUAAAUUAUUGAAAGACUAUGAUAUUAGUAUGUUGUAUCAUCCAAGCAAGGCUAAUAUAGUGGUGGAUACAAUUAGUAGAUUGUUUAUAGGUAGUGUUUAUUAUGUUGAGAAUGAUAAGAAGGAGUUAGUUCAUGAAGUUCAUCAUCUUGUCAAGUUAGUAGUUCGGUUGAUUCAUUCAGCCAAAGGUAGUAUAUGGGCUCAUAAUGGUUCAGAAUCUUCAUUGGUUAGCAAAGUAAAAGAAAAACAAGAUAGGGAUCCUAGUUUGGUCAAUUUAAAGGAGGCAGUUAAGGAUUAAAAGGUGGAGAUUUUCUCCCAAGUGGGAGAUGGUGUGCUUCUUUGUCAAGGAAAACUAUGUGUUUUGUGUGUUGAUGGUUUGAUAUAGGGAAUAUUAUCUGAGGUGUAAGGUGCACAGUAUUUUAUUCACCUAGGGGCUACUAAUAUAUACCAUGUUUUGUGAGAAAUAUAUUAGAGUGGCGUGAAGAAAGAUAUUACAGAGUUUGUUGAUAAGUGUUUGAAUUGCUAGCGGGUUAAAGUUGAGCACCAAGAAAACUAAGUGGUACACUUCAGGAGUUUAGCAUCCUUACUUGGAAGUGGGAGGUAGUGAACAUGAAUUUUGUGACAGGAUUGCCUCAUACGCAUCGUCAGUAUAAUUUAAUAUGGGUGAUUAUAGAUAGAAUGACCAAGUAAGCCCAUUUUUGGCUAGUAAAUACUUUAUAUUUAGUAGAGGAUUAUGCUAGAAUCUAUCUCAAGGAGUUGGUUCAGUUGAAUGGGGUUUUGUUGACUAUCAUUUUAGAUAGAGGUAUACAGUUUACCUCUCACUUUUGGAAAGCUUUCUAGAAAGGUCUUAGUACCCAAGUUCGUCUCAGUACAGCUUUUCAUUAUUAGAUAGAUAGUCAGGUAGAGAGGACCAUUUUGAAUCUAGAAGACAUGUUGAGGGCUUGUGCUAUUGAUUUCAAAGAGACGGGUGAAGAGAUUUGGCAGAAGGGGAAGCUUAGUCCCCAUUAUGCUGGCCCAUAAAGAAUCUUGAGUCAUUUUGGGAAGAAUGCUUAUGAGUUAGAGCUGCCUGGAAAUUUGGCAUCAGUACAUCCAGUGUUUCAUGUCUCUUUGCUAAAGAAAUGUAUUAGUGACUUAUCUUUUGUUAUUUCUCUAGACAAUGUGGAUGUGAAAGAUAGUCUUUCUUAUGAAGAAAUUCUAGUUGAGAUCCUUGACCGUUAGAUUUGUAGGUUGAGAAAUAAAGAAGUCCAUUUAGUAAAGGUUCUAUGGUGAAAUCCGUUUGUUAAAGGAGCUACAUGGGAAGCAGAAGAAGAUAUGUGAGCUAAGUAUCCCCCUAUUUUCUCCACGAAUUUAGAUCCAGCGUGAGGUAAUGAAUUUUCUUAAGUAAUUCUCUUAUUUUAUAUUUCACCCAUGUAAUCAUCCUCAUAUCAUUGCAUGCAUUCAUGAAUUCAGUUCAGUCCAUGUAUUAUGGUUCAGACUCAGUUAAUUUAUGAUAAUUCAGCUCAUAAGUAUUUAGUAUAUGAUCUCAGUUUUCUUAGCAUCUCGACUUAACCAGUUUCAUUAGACCACAGGCUCAUUUCAGCUCUUAGUUACAUAUUAAAGUGGUUCAAGGCUUGGUGUAGGGGACUUAGUCAUUUUCAAAACCCCAAGAUAUCAAGGAAUUCAUUUUUGGCCUUCCCGAAUCCGAAACAUUAAAUUUUAAGUUGAAACAUGUUUAGGGAUGUUAAAGAGGUGUCCCUAAAGAGUUUUGGAAUUUUUGAAAGGGGUUUAGGGUGCUUUUCGACCUUGAAGGCAGAAAGCCUCCGUGAUAGGUGAUGAGUGGUGAUUUUACCACUUAUUUGCACUUAAUAUUUGUGCAAAUUACCUUGUUUUGAAUGAAUAAAUGAGACAUCAAUAUGAUUAAAAACACUAAUAUCCACUCCUUGCAGGCAAAGAGUUGAGGGGAUAGAAAGAUGUGGAUUGGAGCUUAAAAUGAUCAAAAGGGAGCAAGAUAGUGUAGUUGAAGACCUGGAGCAGAAGGGCCUCAGUUACCGCAGUUGUGGUCUGCAAACCGUGAUUGUGGCAGUCAAGUAGGGUCAAUCAACCACGGUUGCGUAAGUCUAUCAUGAUCAUAGAGGCCGCGGUUACAGACAAACUGAAGCGAUAGCGGUUUAGCAGAAGAGUUCAGCCCAAGGGAAAAUCUGGAAAUGCACGUGGCUAAUCCCAAUUUUAACAAAAAGACUCAAACCUUAGAAUUAAGGAUCAUAUUCUAUCUUCCCCAAUUUUUUAAGGCUUAGCUCUUGAUCUCAUAACCUCCAUACUCGGAGAAGAAAAUAUUGUAUAAAUAUUGGGUGUAGGAUACAUUUGAGACCUUCUAAGUGAAGGAAUAGCUCACUUCCAUUAUUGAUUUAUGGGAGUAUAAAGUUUGAAGUAACAUUCACUUAAUCUUCAACAAGUCAUUUCAAUGGAGAUUAUGGGUAUAUCUAUGCUUAUUUAUCUUAUAUGUAGCUAGAUUUCUCUCUUAGGGUUAUGUAUGGUAGGGCUUAAAGUGUAUGUGGGUUGUUAUUGUUAUCCUCUAUUUGGUAGUUCAUUUUUAUGGGUUUUAUCAUUGCUAUGCUAAAUUAGUUGGGAUUUAUGGGUGAAAGCUCAAAACUCUAGAAAGCUCAAGGCCAUUUUCAAAAAAAAGGUUUUGGGUGAACUUUAGGAAUUCACAUCAUCCUUAAAAGGGGGAGUGGAGGCCAAAGCAAUGAUAGGCAAUUAUGUGUGAAAUUUGCUAAAUUUUCACUAUCUUAGAAAUAAGGGUGAUUGUGAAAUUAACUAUACCAUGGGUAUUAUCUUAGAAAUAGGGAUGCCUAAAUUGAGGUUUGGUUACCAAAUGUUAAACACACUCGUUAGGUAUUCGAAAGAAUCAAUGGGUGAAAGUUUGGUGUUGUGUUGAAAGACUAGCAUCAAAAUCUAUAACCGAACCUACCCAUAUUUGAUCUACUAUAAUGAUGUUGAUUACUAACACCCACAUGUCAUUCCCUUAGUAACACAUAAUCCCAAGAUCCGUGCCUAAUUGUUCAAACUCUAAUUAUUUAGAGCCCCAAAUUUAUACUCGAAAAACCGAAAAAUAAACAUUAAUGUUUAUACUUGUCUCCCUCAUUUUUAUCUUUUUGUACUAUUGGUUUAAAUUUACCUUGUAUCUAUUAUUUUGAAUCUUGACUGCCACUCACAUUGUUACUCAUGGAUUUGACCCCGACUCCUAAGUUGGGUAAAUAUAUUGACGACGAUUACCUUGCACUUAAAUUGACGUGUAAGUUAAGCGUUAUCAAAAAUGGCACCGUUGCCGGGGAACAAUUUGGCGUAUUAAGUUAGUUUGGAAUUUUAUCUUACUUUCUUGAAUUGAAGCUUGCGUAUAUUGUUUGUGACUUUUUUUUGUAGGUAGAUUUUAUUGUAUUUUACUUUUCUCUAUGGCAUCUUCCAACAAAUAUGAUGUUAGUAGUUGGGAAUCCUAACGUGAUGACCCAUGUCCAAUCUAUGGUAGUUAGAUACUAUUUUAAUUUUGUUUUGGGGGAUGCCACAUUUUUGGGUAGCCUGAAUAUCAUGGCGAAUUCUUCAGAAAAAAUUGUGCCCAUGCUUUAUAGAUUAUCAUGUUUUUUCUUUUAGUUUUAGUUAUUCUUUUUAUUAUACUUUUAUUUUGAUUUUGGUGAUUCAUGACAAGUUUUGCCCUAUGAUAGAUUGAGUGACGACAUUCUUAAAGGUAAAGCAUCGUGUUUGGGUUUUGAGACAUAGGUACAGGGGAAUUCUGAGUACCCAUAGUAUAAAUGUCAUUAAUACAAGGGAAGUUUGAGUACCUGUGGCAUUUUAAAUUAUAAAUUUGGGAUCAGGUUAUACACAAUUGAAGAAGUCUGAGUAGCCAUAUGGGUGUUUACCCAUUUUGAGCCAAAAGGUGAGGCUAAGGCUUUAGGUUGUAGCCAUAAUUUAUCAAAUUGUGUGUGGUGCUAAUGCAAAACAAGAACUCCCCUCCGUCUAAAAAAAAAUUUUUGAAAAAUCAAGGUCAUGGACGGGAGAAAUGUUGUAACAAAACUUUUUCUCUUUUUGUGGCUUUGUAAAUUUAUAACUUGUGAAUAGAAAUAGAUACUCCAAUUAUGUCUCUAGCGGGAGGGAUAUUUGAGAUCCCUUAGGGAAUUUUUGCAUGUCAUGAGUGGUAAGCUAUUUGAAUUCAUCUCUUGAAUACUUGUGUUAUCUAGAACUUGCCCCAUUAGUCUUUCAAAGCUAAUUUUUAUUAUAGUUGGUUGGAGAAGUGAUCUUAGGCCAUGUUUGUUACUUUGGAACCCACUCUAGCGUGAAAAGCCUACCCGUGCAUAAAGUUAAUCCUUAGUUACCCACUUUUAACCUUUGGACCUUUCUUUGGCAAACUCAUCACAAACUGUGAACCAUUCUUUUGAUCUCUUUUUUAAAACCAUACCCUCCUUGAAUUUGAAGAUGCAACUUGAGGCUAAAAGCUUAAGUUAGGGGUGGAGAAAGUUGAUAGAAGGAAGUUUGGUGCCAUGAAAUUGUAAGUGAAAUGUGUAAUAUACUUUAGCAUUGUAAGCAAAUGAAUAGUAAAGAGAGAGGAUCCAAUAAAAAAAUUGCACAAAAGUUGCAAGAUAAGGAAAUAAAAUAAAAGUGGUGAACAAAGGAAGCGAAAAGUAGGCAUAAGAAAAGAAAGAAAAUAAAGAAGAGUGGCCCUUAGUCAAAAAGAAGGGUUGAAAGGUGUGAUAUAGAUGUUCAAGGAAGGGUGUAGCCAUGUUGUUCCCAAAUGAUAUCCUACCCUAACCCAAACCAAUGUUACAAGCAAAGAAAGUCCUUUGAGAUCUCCAACCAUGUACUUUCUUCGUAGUGGUGAUCGAAAAUAGGGGCAAGCCUAUGGUACAACACUUGUUACAUGGAGAUUUCUUUUGAGAGCAGGAGAAUUUUGCACUUAAAAUUCCUUGUUGCAUAUUUGGUAGCUCGUUGUAUGGAAUUCGCUUUCUUGUGAGGUUGGCAUGCGAACAAGUUAAGGUGGGUGAUUUUGCCACCUCCAGAGCAAUGAGGUAAAUGAAAUAUAGCUUAGUUGUGGUAAAAAAAAGAAGCUAUUUCUAGAGUAUUAGUUCUUGUUGCUUGGUUUCUCUUUAAAGUUUUAUACAUCCUUAGAUAUUGCAAUUUUAUAAUGAGGCGUGCAGUGAAACAAGCCUAGCAUAUGUGCAAUGAGCUGCCUGUGAUGAUGACUAAAGGAGGUCAUUGUGAUCUUUAAGGAAUAAAGUUUGGGCAUAGACGAUUGUGUCUCAUAGUAAGAGGUAGUUUUCUUGAGAACAAGUAAUAGCUUUAAGUUGGGAUGUUGAUUAGUAGUGAUUUUACCACUCAUUUGCACUCAAUAUUCAUGAAUAUUACCUUAUCUUAAAUGAAUAAAUGACACAUAAUUGUGUUUAAAUACACUAAUAUGCACUCUUUGCAGGCGUAGAGUUGAGGGGAUAGAAAAAUAUGUAUUGGAGCUUAAAAUAAUCAAAAAGGGAGCAAGACAGUGCAGCUAAAGACCUAGAGCAGAAAGGCCUCAGUUACCGUGGUUGUGGUCUGUUGACCGCGAUCGCGGUAGUUAAGCAGGGUCAAUCAACUGCGGUCGCAUAAUUCUAUUGCGGUCACAGAGGCUGCGUUCGCGGCCAAGCUAGUGCGAUCAUGGCUUAGUGAAAGAUUUCAGCCCAAGGGCAAAUCUAGAAAUGCACGUGGCUGAUCCUAAUUUUGACAAACAGACUCAAACCCUAGAAUAAUGGAUCAUAUUCCAUCUUUCCCAAUUUUUUAAGGUUUAACUCUUGAGUUCAUAGCCUCUAUACUUGGAGAAGAAAAUAUUAUAUAAAUUUUGGGUGCAGAAUAUAUUGGAGACCUUCUAAGUAGUGGAAUAGCUCACUCCCAUUGUUGAUUUGUGGGAGUGCAAAGUUUGAAGUAACAUUCACUUAAUCUUUAACAAGUCAUUUCAAUGGAGAUUAUGGGUAUAUCUAUGCUUAUUUAUCUUAUGUGUAUCUUGAUCUUCCUCUUGGGGUUAUGUGUGAAUAAGGGUUAAAAGUGUAUGUGGGUUGUUAUUGUUAGCCUCUAUUUGGUAGUUUAUUUUUAUGAGUUUUAUCAUUUCUAUGCUAACUUGGUUGGGAUUUAUGGGUGAAAGCCCCAAAUACCCAUAUGGGUUUGAUGAGUAAAAGAACUAAACUCUAGAAAGCUUAUGGUCAUCUUCGAAAGAAGGGUUUUGGGUAAACUUUAGGAAUUCACAUCAUCCUUGAUAGAAGGAGAUGGAGACCAAAGCAAUGAUAGGCAAUUAUGUGUGUAGUUUGCUAAAUUUUCACUAUCUUAGAAAUAACGGUGAUUGUGAAGUUAGCUAUACCAUGGGUAUUAUCCUAGAAAUAGGGAUACCUAAAUUGAGGUUUAGUUACCAAAUGUUAAACACACCCAUUAGAUAUUUGAAAGAAUCAAUGGGUGAAAGUUUGGUGUUAUGUUGAAAGACUAGAACCAAAAUAUAUAACCAAACCUACCCAUAUUUGAUAUACUAAAUUGAUGUUGAUUACUAAUACCCACAUAUCAUUCCCUUAGUAACACAUAAUCCCAAGAUUCGUGCCUAAUUGUUAAGACUCUAAUUAUUAAUAGCCCCGAAUUUAUACUAAAAAAACCUAAAAAGAAACAUUAGCGUUGAUACUUGUCUCCCCCAUUUUUAUCUUUUUGUAAUAUUGGUUUGAAUUUAACUUGUAUCUAAUAUUUUGAAUCAAUAUAAUUUCCACUCACAUUGUUCCUCGUGGAUUUGACCCCGACUAAUAAGUUGGAUAAAUAUAUUGAUGAUGACCGCCUUGCACUUAAAUUGACUUGUAAGUUGAGUGUUAUCAAUAGGGGCGUGUAAUGGUGGCAGGAGCUCCGCGAUGAGCUCUGUGACACAAAGAAAGGACCUCCGCGAUGGGUUCCGUGUCACGGAGACUAGCCUUCGUGAUAGGCUUUGUUCCAUGAAGUCUAUAUUUUUUGUGUUAACUAAAUGCUCGAGGGCUACUUCGGUCUUUACCCCUUACCCCCAAACGUCUACUAUACAAAUUAACGCCCACAAAAGGCAUUAUUUGCCCAUUCUCACUUAGUUAACUUAUGUAAACCCUUCCCCAUUUUCCCCAAGAACAAAAUUGAUGUUUUCCUCCCAAAGAACUCAAGGAUUCAAGUUCCAAUUUCAAGCUUUCUUCAAGAGUUCAUCCAAUUGAGGUAUGUGGGGUAUUCAUCAAUGGGUUCCUUCUACCAAUAGAGCCCAACAAUCCCUUUUUUGACUUAUGUAUGAAUCUUUCCCUCUUUUAUGGAAUUAUCCAUGUUAAAUGUGAACCCAAUCCUUGCUUUUCUUAGUAAUUUGAAUUCAAUACAUGUCAGUAUAUGAUUCCAUGUGAAUUAGGUUAUUUUAUGGUUUGAAUUUCAACUACCCAUGUCAUAUUCAUUUGGUUUCAUGUUAAUUUAUCAAGUUAUGAGUUAAACUAUGUGAAAUUGUUAUCCUCUUAAGUUUAACACCUCCCCAAGUUCAAAUUCGUGUAUCUUACUCGUUUAUUGAAAUGUCUUUUGUUUUGGGUCUCUAAACAAUGUCGUUAUAUCAUUGUUUUAAGUGUUUUCAUCGUAUUUAUGAAGUGGAAGGUUAUGAAAACCCGAUACCUAUCUGUUUGUACAUGUCUUUAUUUUCAAGUUACAAGUGAGUCACACUAUGAUUUCAUUACUACAUUCAGAACAUUAUGUUUAUGUUGAACACUUUUCAAUACAGUAUCACAUUAUGUUAAGUCAAUAAUAAUACCAAUGUUAUUUCAGUUGGGAGUAGGACUUAGCACCGAGUGAAGGUAGGGAUGGAGGCUCCCCCAUUAGUUUAGGCGGAGCCUUUAGUAGCAGUCCCUAAGUUCCUGAACUACAUAGCCAGCGUAGGUUACGAGGGGUCACCCGAUAGUUUUGUCUUGAUACCCUCUCAGGGGUCACCCAUCAGUUUAGUCUUGACACCCUGAUCCUUAGGUACUUACAACCUUCCAAUUUUGGUUACAAGUUGGACCCUGAUUUGCUCAAAUUGGGGCUUGUUGGUUACACCAUAGCUCCUACAGUUUCAGUCAGUACUCAGUCUAUAUCAGCUCAGGUUUGCUUGACCAAGUAAUCCAAUUUUCAAUUAUUCAGUUAGUCAGUUUUACAUAUUUAUUUAGUUCAUACAUUACUUGUUCUUGCUUUCUCAAUUUUAUAUGUUCAUGCAUCCAUGUUUGAUUUCCACAGGCAUUUCAGUUAGUCCUUACCUGACAUACCAGUACAUUCAAAAUAUUGAUCGCAUACAUUUCUUUGUUCUAUGUUGUCUUAUAACAUAGGUUUAGAUGCACAGUUCCUUAACCAUCCUUAGACAGCUCAGCAUUUCCCAGUAGCAGUAGUGGUUAUUACUCACCCAUCAAGGACGUGACAUGUUAUGAUAGUUAUUUUGGUAUUUCUUUAUGUUCAGUAAGGCAGAGUUAGUUAGGGGUUUGUCCUAUCACCUCCUUAUGUUUUAGAAACUUUCAAAUAGAUAAUCAGUUAGUUUUUAGUCUAUUUAGUUAUUUUAGACAUGUUGAAUUAUAUUUCAGUAUUACAUCUUACCAGUAUUUUAUCAGAUUAUCUUCCGCACUUGUUAUAUCAUAAUUAUUUUAUUCAACACUUAUAACAGGUACCAGAUCAUGGUUUUGCUUGGGGUCACUUAUGGACUUAAGCAUUAUGUUGCGACUAGGGGAAGCCUCGGGAUGUGACAUGAGGUAUUUGCGAAGACUUUAAAAUUUCCAAGUUUUAACUGGUGUUGAUGCACCCACGUUCGUGAACUAAUGAUCACUUAAACGAUUUGCCAAGCACCAACUAAUAUCGCAUAAGUUAUAUUCUUAGUCGUGUAAGCGACACCCCAGACAGAAAGACCAGUAUCGCACAUGUGAUAAUGAUACCUUGUAUAUGGCUUAUGCACCUUUGGCCAGGUUCUGUGUGCACGAUCAACCGACCGUUUAUGCGAUACCCGUGUACCUAAAAGGGGUAUAAAUAUCUCUUUUAGCCCCUUUUUCAUCAUUUCUCAUCCAUCUCUAAGAUAUUUAAACCCAAAAAAUGUGGGAAAGCUUGGGGAUAACAUUUGGGAGUGAUUUUGGAGCUUGGAUAAAGAUUAUUUAUGCGAUUUCCUUUAAAUUUGUGGUGACAUUUCAUCAUUUUUAUGGUUUACCUUCUCGUUCUUAUCUAAAAUCUGUAAAAUACGGGUGACUUGAUGUUAGCACCAAUAUAACACAAAAUUCACCCAUUUUUUAGGGUAAAUAUUUCUAAAGCAUAGAGGGAUGUUGAGUUGGUUUUGGAAAUGUGGUUUCUGUAAACAGGCCUCAUAUGGGAUUUUUACAUAAUUUUGAACCCAAAGAAUAAUAAUGCAAUAAGUGUAUCAUUUUUCUUAUUUUGAUAAGUAGAUUGUGAUUUUGAUGGCAUGGCACCUUGCAAAAGCUUCUCAGAAGGGAAAAUUGAUGAUUUAUCAAAUUCUUCAGGCUUUCUUCGUCGUCCAGGUAGGCUAGGUUUACUUUUUUAAUACAUUGAGCUAUAUCAUAUAUAUUCUUAUAAUAUUAUGCUAGAUAUGAGGUGGGAUUUAGGUUUUUGGAAGUAUGGAUGAGAAUAUUUAGUUUAAUUAGACAGUUCAGUUUUCUUGAAACCAUAGCCUUGGAGUAGUUAGUGUAGUUAUUCAUGGCUUAGCUGAAUCGAUCUUAACGAUAUAUACAUUUAGAAUGGAAAUGAUUUAAUUAUUAAAGAUAGGUGAAAUUUCCCUAGUCAUUCAUAUUUGAGUGAAAUUGUUCUUAGUUGCCUAAGUUAUAGGAAUUGCCCUUGUUGCUAUUGUUGUAGGUAGGAUUACCUUAAUUGCUCAUGUUCGGGGAAAGAACUCUAUCCUAUGGAUAUUUAUGGCUUUCUUGACAUCUAGAAAUGAACCUAGAUACCUUAGCCUAGCCCAGGGUAAAGGCUGCCAAAAUUGAAUUUUGGGGAUUAGAAGUGGGCCCCUUCACCCACCUUAGGCUAAGACUCAGAUUAGCCUUGUUGGCUUAGUUAUGCAUUAUUAUACUUUUACUAUUUAUGGGUUUGACACUUGAGGAGAUUGAAUAUAUUCAUUUUUUACGUUAGUUGGAUAUUGGAAGAUUGAUGCUAAUUUUAGGUAUUGCAAAUGAAAUUGCUUAUAUGCAUGAUUUAUGACAUGGCUUGCAUGUAUAUAAUUACUGAGAUGGCUUUUGGACUUGACUAUUGAUAUGAGUCAUAAAUACAUGAAUGAUUAUAGGACUUAUACAUACUAGAUCAUUGAUAUGGCCUCCAAAUAUGAAAAGUAAUAUGGCUCAUAGAUGCGUUAUGGCUCAUAGAUAUGAUUAAGGCCUUAGAGAUACAAUAUGGCUUAUGGAUAUAAUAUAGCUUACUGAUAUAGUAUGGCUUAUAGAUAUGGUCAGGUCCAUAGAUAUGAUUAAUGGUUCAUAUCCAUGAUGUGGCUUAUAGAUAUGCUUAAUGCCUUACACACCUGAUUAGUGACUUAUAACUAUGAGUAUUGAAAUAACUUAUGACCCUGACUACUGACAUGACCUAUGGCUAUGAUUAUUGUUUAUGACAUUAAUAAUAUAAGCACCGGUUCAAGUUCGAUAAUUGAUUAUGACAUUAAUGAUAGGAGCACUAACUUAAGUCUGAAAACUGAUUAUGAUAGUAUGAUCACCAGUUCAAGUCCAAUAAUUGAUUGUGAUAUUGACGAUAUGAGCACCGAUUCAAGUCCCAUAGUUUUGGUACUCAUACUACACUUCUGUACCUUUUUGGUACAGAUUCGAGUACUAGUUAUAGUUGCUGAUUUGAUAUUCGAGUAGGGUUGAUUUCAGAGAUUGGGUGAGCUCUUGUAGUUGGAAUUACCCUUUUCCUUCUAUUUUCUAUGAUUAGUAUUUCUUUUUCGAAACUUUGACAAAAACCUCUCACGAUCGUACCAUAAAGACACGACCAUACCUUACUAUCAUAGGAGAAAGGCUAGGAACAAGGCUACAAAACAUAAGUGUGAGAUAAUCAAACGACAAUAAGCCAUAUUCAUACUUUGAUAUGAUGAUCAUACCAUGAGAUCAUAGGAUGAAGGCUAAGAUAUGAAGGUGGCAGAAGUAUAAGUCGAAGGUGAUCAGACGACAAUAUCACCUGAUUAUACCUUGAUACCAUGGAGUCGUACUGAGCACCUUACCAUUGAAGAUAAGAAGACUAACAUCCAAUAUCUAAACUACAAGCACCAAAGGAUGAUCAUGGUAUCUAAACAUGAUCGUACCUUCUUAUCGUCUGAGCCAACCAACCCAAAUUUCCUAUUUUGUUUCGAAUAGGAUUUAUUUUGUUUAUAAAUACUCUUAUAGGGUUAUUUUUAAAUGUUAUACACUACUUUGAUUUAACAUUACUGUAUUUGAGGUUCUAAGGCUAUUCUUGAAAUUUUAUGAUCAUUUUUUCAAGGGUUUUAAUUAAAGUUAAGAUUUUGGAGUUUAAUUCUCAUUGUAAGUCUAUAACAAUGCUCUCGUCUAUGAAUUCUUCUUAUGUUCUUGCAAUUAUGAGUGUCUAAACAUCAAAACUAAGGUUGUGAAAACCAUGAUGAAUUAAUGAAAUGGGUUAACUGUGAGGCAAAUCUAGACUAGUGUGGAUUCAUGUAUUAGUAUUUCCUUCAUUACAACUGCUUUUCUAAUGGUUGCAUUAGCGACGCCUAAGUUACACCUCCACUCUGAAGAUGAUGUGAUCUCUGCCAAAUAUAGUAACCCAAAGAAGUUUGGGGUUGAUUCAAAAGGGAAUACGUGGAAUUGUGGCUCUCAAUUAUUGUAACCAAAGGGCAGAACUAGAAAAUUAAAUAGGAGGAUUUGAGUAUCAAUGUCGAACUAGUAGAAAAUAUCAACUUUGGUUAUAUUCAGUCAUAGGUGAACACUUGGAUUGUGUUUCCCCUAGCUUCUCAACUCCGUAGGCUUAUUGUGCUUUGUUGAACCAACCUGAUACCUUACAUGCAGAAUCGUUAAAUUAUAUACCUUCUACAGUCUUUUGGACGAGCAGAAGGAUUUCACCCUUUACCUUUUGAGUCUUAGCAUGUCGCAUUACAAACCCUUAUCUUGAUCUCAGUUAACUAUUACCUUUUGAGUCUCUAAUUAUUAGAUAAAAUCAACCAUCUUACUUAGAUAAAACCUUGUAGCAUGGAUCAAUAGUUAAACUCCAAAUUACUGUUGUCAUUAUCUUUCCUAGUCACUACUCCUCUUUUAGAGUAAGUAGCAAUAAUCUAGGUAGGAUCCUAGUUUUUUCAACCUCUAAGAUAACUAGUAAAGUAAAUAUAAUACAAUACAUUCACGGGUAUCAUUUCAUAACAACAAUAGCACUUUCCUUACUUCGUUAAUCCACUAGGGUUUCCACAACCCUAACUAAGGGUUUAUAGCCGCUCAUGCUUGUGAAGUAAUUAACAACAUUCAUGAUUCAAAGCAUAGGAUAAAAUCACAGUAAUCACAAGUAAAAACCCAAAACCGUAACUCAAUUAAUUAACCAAUAUCAAUACAAGAGAAUUCUAAGACUAAAAUCGAAUCUCGAAAUCAAAAUAUAUUUGUGAGUAUCAAGAGUGCAUAACUUCUACUGAAAAACACAUAAGAGGUAUCUAUAGUACCUGAGAAAACCCUAAAAUCAAAGGCCAAAUGAAAUAUAAGAAAAAAGGGUCGGUAGCAUGUGCCCAGACCAAAAAUCCAUGCAGGUCUGCUCUAGGGAUUUUGGACUUUUGACACAUAAUGUGCUCACAUGCAAUCCACAUGUGCUACGUGCAGUCUGCAUGUUAACUUAGCAAGUGCCAGAAGUUAUUUUUCCAACUCUCCUUCAAUUCCCACACAUUUUUUGUUCACGAACCAUCUGGAAAGUGUCACAAACACCCAUUUUUUAUCACAUAAGUAACCAAAAACACAUUUUCCCCUCUUUUUCAUAAACUUAGCAUCCAAAAUCUAGUUUCUUGCAAAACAUAACCAAAAAGCAUCAUAUCUAACAAAACAACCUCAGAAAUUUGCAUAUUUUUAUAGUUUUAAGCGUCGAAAGUGUUAUAUUUCUAUAGCACAUCAUGCAUAUAUUAGGAACUCGCAUGUAUUCUAAACUUUCUCGGGAGAGAGCUAUAGAUUAGGAAAAGAGAAUAACAAUAGAUAUUUAAGGCUAUCAAUCCUCAUCUAAUAACUUGAACCGUAACAGGGAUAAUUACUAUGAAAUCAAGAACAAAAGUUUGUAGUACGACAAUCUAAGUCUGAGAGGAGACAACAUUAAUUCAUCUAAUAAAGGUCGAAAGAAGUUUAGAUAAACCUAAAAAUAUCAAGAUAGUUUGAUAGCAUAAGCAACCUAUGGAGUUAGGAAAUAAUUGGAGAUUAUAAUCCUAGUGCUCGUCUCAUAUUGAUUACAAAUCCAAAAACCAUAAAUUGUUAACCCCAACCUUGUUGUUGUCUAUAUUUGAUUUAGUAGCCUAUUUAUACUUUUUGAGAGGUGUAAUAUGAGCAACAUUAUUUACUAAGCCUCAACAACUCUAUAACAAGGUAAGAAUAACUUAACUAUUCUCUAGAAAGUAACCAAGCCUAAUAAAGCUCAUAAUAUAGGUAAUCCUUAUCAAUUAUUCAAAACACCAAGUUAUCUAUUUACAAUUCAUCCUAGAGGUACUUACAAGUAGUAAAACUAACUUGAAUAAGUAUUUACCUAACUACAAGCGAUCAAAACCUUUAGUGCCCGUGUAUAUCACCUAAGAGGGACCUAAGAGGGACCUCCAAUCCUAAAUAAAAUACAAAAUACAUCCAAACAAGCAUACAACAUAUAAAUAUUUUGAAAAAAUUCAAGGCACAUCUCAACCUACAUUAAAUAAAGAUCUAUAAGAUCAAACACCGUCUAAAGCCUUAAUAAGAAGCUCAACUCCCUCAAAUCAACACCAUACAUGUCCAAUAUACUCAAAAAUAACAUUUACAUGUCAACGAAAGCUAAUGAUACCCAUAUUGACCAUAUUAAAGACGGGUCCAAAGUGGGCUCGAAAAAUGAGUCAAAAAAUAAAAGGGGUAAAACCAAAAUUUUAUUUAAGAAUAAUAUUUCCUAUAUCAAUAGGAGUCUAUAUUUGAAAAUACACAAGAAAUCGAAUAGAAAUCAAACUCCAAAUCAAAGAAAAAACAAUUUACACUUCAUUGACUAAAAACUCCAACAAUACAUUUAAAAUCAUAAAUUAGAAGUUGUUUUGAAGAUAGAAACAAUGGAAAAUGAUGGAAUAAAGAUCGAGAGACUUACCCAUGGAACAAAUCAUAAGAAGAUCUUUGAUAUUACCUUAAUCCAAGAUCUAGGAGUCUAAAAAUAGAGAAAAUAUGAUUAAGGGCCAAAAUAGGGAUUUCUAGUCUAUCCAGGUAUGCAAUCAUCGUGAUUGCAGGCCACCAAUCAUGAUCUUGACCUGACUCAAUCUGUCCCUUUGGAAACGCAGUCCUUUGGCCACAAACGCGAUGAAGAAAACUGGCCUAGCCCACAAAUCUAAGCAUCACAAUCGCAGUGCCCACCAUCAUGGUCAUGAUGAAAGAAGAAUUUGACAUUCACGAAUGUGAUGUAGGGAUCAUGAGUGUAAGGGAAUAAAAGGCAAGGCUAUGCAAAUUUGAUGCUGGAGGCCACCAUUGCGAUGAAGAGGGACUUGCACCAGAAAAUAGUUGAAAAUUAGAACCUCUAAGUCUAAAAAUCCUUCGAACGACAAAAAUAAUCUAAUAAUGCUACAAGGCUAAUUUUGAUGUUUCGAACUUAAUGGAAAUGUUGGAUUUUCGAAGAAGGAUUGUUUUUAUAAAAUUAAUGUAACACCCUAAAAAAUUCAAGCAUUUUAUUUUUGGCUUUUUCACACUAGAAACAUCAGUUUUGGACUUAAAUUGUACCUUAGUAUAUUAAAGGGGUGCCCCGAAAGAGUUUAGGAAUUUUCAGGCGGUGUUCGAGAUGAUUUUGGACCCAGAGAUAGUAAGCCUCCAAGAUAUUCUCAUUCCAUAAAGGAUAAUCUCUAUGUUAGGGUAUGUGACACAGAGGAUAGCCUCCAUGUUAAGGUUCGUGUCACGGAGGCUAGCCUCGUGAUAAGCUCCGUGCCAUGUUGUCUUCUAGAUUUCGGGCAGUCACUUAGGAUUAAGGAAGGGUUUUUUGCUCUUUCUCCUUCAUAACCCCUUUCCCAUGACUUAAAUUAUUCCUUAAACAUUAUAUCACAUCAGUAAAUCCCUAAAACAUUAUUCCAUAACAAAAAGGGAGAAACUACCUAGGGUUUGAGAAUUUUAAGCUUCAAGGAUCAAUUUUUCCAAGGUUCUCUUCAAUUUCAAGGUAUGUGGGACUAUCCUAAAUUCUCAUGGGUAUAAAUUUAUUGUUUUAACAAGCUUUAAAGAUAUAAAAUUUAUGUAUCUAUUAUAGGUUUUGGAAAUCAUCUGAAGAGCAUGCAUCAUAAACUCAUUUUGAUGCAAGUAUGUAUUUAUCAUGAGGUUUUUCCAUAAACUUGAGUUAUAAUCAUGUGCAUAUAUGAUAUGAGAUACAAAAAGUAAAUUAUGAGUAAUUUAUUAAAUUCCCUCUUCCAUGAUAGAAUUUAUGGUCUUAACAUGAUAUGGACUAUUCAAAUAUGUGAGCAAAAAUUAAGUUAAAUAUUUUACUAUCAUCUAUGGGUUUACAUUGCUCUAUCAUCCAAAUGAGAGUGUGUUCCUUGAUUAUAAAUGCUCAUUAUGUUAAAUGAAAGAAUUUUAAGUGAUAAAUGAAAGAAUUGUCCACCAUAUGUUAGAGUCUUGAAAAGAGAGUGUUUUGCUUAAGUUUCAAAUACUUUUUGAAAUAAGUACUCUCAUGUGAUGUAAAGAAAUUCUUCUAGUGGUCACUUACGUAUUUCUUGAAUUAGAAGGGCUAUGGACAUGAUAUAAUAUGGCUUGCAAGUCUACGUAUGAUGAUACUUAUUAAAAAAUGCCCUUAACAUGAAAACACAGAAGGACUAAGAAAAGAGUGUAGUUUUAAAUGGAUAAAAAUGGGCUUAAAGAGAAUUAGGUGGUUACUCGUAGAAGGCAUGAGUUCAGAUAACGUAUUUCUCAACACCAUGUUUUAUCGAUGUAGGAAGUGAUUUUUUCUUGAAAUAUAGAUUAUCACUGUAUACUUAUUUCUCACAAUUGUGUACUUAGACCAGACACUUAUCCUUGUAGCAAACUCAGAUGGGGGGCUUGGCCGGUGAGUUAAUGUGGAUCACAUAUAGCCCGUGGGAUAACAGACUUGUAGGGUGUACCAUCAAGCUCAGAAGUAAAGCAAAGAGUUGAGUCAGAAAUUACAAGAACAGUUAGAAACUCUUAAAUUAUGCCAAUGUGUUAUAUAUAUAUAUAUAUAUAUAUAUAUAUAUACAUACAUACAUACACAUAUUUAUAUAUAUAUUAUGCUAAAUUGAUUCAGCAAUGCUAUCAAUUAUUUUACAUGGAUUAUAUGUUAUGUUGGAUGAGUUCUGCAUACUAAUACUCUCCAUGUAUUGACCCUUACAAUACAAAUUCUGAGGCACAAUCACAUGAUCCGGUGCAAUAGUAGAUUUCACUCAGAUAGUCAGAGUUAGUGAGCCUUCCUUACUCUGAAAGGCAUUUUAUCCAUACAUUAGUUUCAAUUAUUUUAUGGUCCAGUCGAGGGGCUUGUCCUGGCUUAGACAAACUAUAAUGCUCAGAUCAGUAGAGGAUUCGUAGAUUGGUUUAGAUUGGAUUUGCGUUUUCUUAUGGAUUGCUGUCAUGAAUUAUUAAGUUUGACUAUGGGAUUUUCAUGUUUCAAUUUAUCUUCCACAAUUUUAUUUCAUGUGAAUUAUACUAAAGGGUCUCUCAGGACCUUGUGGUUCGAGAUACCUAUCGUAGCUAGGGCCUCGACUUGGGUCGUAACAAGUUUGGUAUCAGAGCAUAGUUUAGGGUCCCAAGGUAUCUACGAAGCCUUGUCGGGUAGAGUCCUUUUUUGGAUAUACAGCAGAGAACACUUUUAAGGAGAAAGCUAUCAAGUAUUUAGGGAUGGUUCCCCUUUUUUACAUGUUCUAGUUGAUGCCAUAGGGUCUGAACAUUUCCUAACUCUUGACUUUUUAUAUUUCAGAUCAUGCCUCCCUGUAGAUAAACUAAGAAGAACACAUCAGCCAGCGCAUCCAUCCCUAUUGGACAAUUUCUGAAGAUGUCCACGCUGCUCAUGGAUCUAUACCUUAGAGUUUACUUAUACUCUAGGGGUUCCUCCAAUCCAAAGUAGCCCUUCCCAUGAUCCUCAGUUUGAUAUUAACCGUACUUAGUCCCUGCAAAGAGAUGUCUCAAAUACUGAAUUUUAUCUAUAUCAUUGCUUAGCUUAUGGCUUCGCCGUUCUAGAGAUGUGAGUUAUAUGCCUGGUUCUUCUGAAACCACUUGGGUUGGGUAAUUCAUAAGUCUAAACCCACCUACCUUUAUGGGUACUAAGCUUGAGGAGGACCUUCAAGGAUUUAUAGAUAAGAUAGAGAAGAUAUUUAGAGUCAUACAUGCCAGUGAUACUAAGGGGGUAGAGUUUGUAGCUUACUAGUUGAAAGAUAUGGCUUACCAGUGGUAUGAUCAGUGGCAAGAGUUGAGUGGGGAAAAUGUUGCACCUACAGCAUUGGAGAAGUUUUUAGAGGCCUUUCUAGAUCACUUUUUUCCUCAAGAAUUAAGGGAGGCCAAGGUAGAGGACUUUGUUAUUCUGAAAUAAGAAAAGAUGAGCAUCAAAGAAUAUGCAUUGAAAUUCACCCAGUUGUCUUGUUAUACUCCGAAUUUAGUUUACAACAUGAGGGCCCAUAUGAAAAGGUUUACAUCCAAUCUCACGGCUGAUUUGGUAUUGGAAUUAAGGGGGCAAUGCUGAACAAGGAUAUGGAUAUCUCCAGGUUAGUAGUGUAUAUGUAACAGGUAGAGGGGGAGAAGAAGAAGAAAGCAAGAGAUGAGAAGAGGCAGACUGAGAGAGCUAAGUCAGUGGAUCACAGUGCCAGUCAGUAGCAGAGUGGCAAAUGGGGAAGGCAAUGGUCCUAGAAAAUGGUUUUGGGUAAUGCACAGUCUUCAUCUAGUGCGCCUGCACCCGGACUAUCAGGUGAGCAAAAGUUUCAUCCUAGUAGUGGGCCAUGGAAUCAAGAUAAUCAGACUCAGGGAAGCAUAACCCAAUCCUCUAGAUUUCAUCUACACUGCAAUAAUUAUGGGAAGAAUCACCCAAGAAAUUAUUAUUUUGGGACCUUGGUGUGUUAUGGGUGUGGCUAGGUUAGCCACUUCCUCAGGGAAUGCCCCUAUGUAAAGGGGACUUUUAGGGGUGCAAAGACUCAAGGAAAUUCCUCAGCCCCUCCGUCUAAGGGUGCUACUUCUGGUACAGUUGGUGGUUGUAACCAUUUAUAUGUGUUAUCUACUCAUCAGGACUCAGAGGCUUCACCAGAUAUGGUUACCGGUAUGUUACAGAUUUUUUUCUCAUGAUGUCUGUGUUCCUUGAUCCCGGGUCUACUUUGUCUUAUAUGACUCUUUAUGUGGCAAAAGUUUUAGUUUUAAGCCCGAGAAUAUUUUUGAACCUUUCUCUGUCUCUACUCCUGUAAGUGACUCUAUCAUUUAUAGAUGAGUCUAUAGUUAUUAUGUAGUGUAUGUGUUCCAUCAAGAUACUGUGGUCGAUCUUGUAGAAUUAAUAUGAUUGAUUUCAACGCUAUUCUAGGAAUGGAUUGGCUCCAUUUAUAUUAUGCCAUAUUAGAUUGUAGAACCAUAAAGGUUACCUUUUUUUUCCUAAUGAACCAGUUAUUAAAUGUGAAGGUAAUUCUCUUGCGCCUAGAGGGAAGUUUAUAUCUUAUCUUAGAGCUUAUAAGCUCAUAUCCAAAGGUUGUUUGUACCAUUUUGUUUGGGUCAAAGAUUCUAGCAUUGAGAGUCCUUCCCUCUAGUUGGUUCUAGUAGUUAAUGAAUUUCUAGAAGUCUUUCCUAAUGAUUUCCCUGAGAUACCCCCGAUAAGGAGAUAGAUUUUGGAAUUGACCUGUUGCCAAACACCCAACCUAUUUUCAUUUAGCCAAAUAGGAUGGAUCUUGGGGAAUUAAAGAUUUGAAAAAACAGUUAAAAAACAUUCUUGGAAAAGUCUUUAUUCAUCCUAGUAUCUCCCCCUAGGGUGCUCCGGUACUCUUCAUAUGUAAGAAAGAUGGCUCCCUCUGUUGUAUAUAGAUUACCGUUAGCUAAAAAGAGUCACAGUUAAAAAUAAGUGCCCUCUGCCCAAAAUUAAUGAUCUAAGAGUCACAGUUAAAAAUAAGUGCCCUCUGCCCAAAAUUAAUGAUCUUUUAUACCAACUUCAAGAGGUUAAAUGUUUUCUCUAAGAUAGACCUUCAUUCAGGACAUCACCAGUUGAAAGUUAGAGAGGCUGACUUUCCAAGACAGUUUUCCAAACCCAAUACCGUCACUAUGAAUUCCUGUUCAUGUUUUACAGGCUAACUAAUUCCCCAACAACAUUUAUGGACCUCAUGAAUAGAGUAUUUUGGCAGUUCUUGGACCUUUUUUUAUGUCUUUAUUGAUGAUAUUUUGGUUUACCUAAUAGUGAGGAAGAUUAUAUCAAUCACCUCCAAAUCGUCCUUCAGACUCUUAAGGACCAUGAGUUACAUGCCAAAUUUUCUAAGUGUGAGUUCUGGCUCAGUGCAAUAGCUUUUAUGGGGCAUACUAUUUCUAGUGAAGGAAUUAAAGUGGAUCCCAAAAGGUUGAGGCUGUAACGAAAUGGCCCAGACCCAUGACUCCAACCAGUAUUCGAAGCUUCUUGGGUUUGGCAGGGUAUUACAGAAGAUUUGUAGAGAGAUUUUCAUCCAUAGCUACUACACUUACUAGAUUUACUCAAAAGCAGGUAAAUUUUUUGUGGUCUGACUCUUGUAAAAAUAGUUUUGAGAGGUUGAAAGAUAAGUUGACUACUAUGCCGGUUUUGACCAUUCUUAAGGGUAUAGAGGGUUUUGUGGUAUACUAUGAUGCAUCCUGAGUGGGACUUGGAUGUGUACUCAUAUAGCAUGGUAAGGUAGUGUCUUAUGCAUCUAGACAGUUGAAGGUACAUAAGAAAAACUAUCCCACCCAUGAUUUAGAGUUGGCAGUUAUGGUGUUUACACUUAAAAUUUGCCAUGCAUGUUGACAACUUUGCUGAUCAUAAGAGUGUGCAGUAUGUUUUCACCCAGAUGGAGUUGAACCUCAGGAAGAAGCUGUGGUUGUAGUUGUUGAAGGAUUAUGAUAUGAUCUUGCACUAUCACCUAGGUAAGUCUAAGGUGGUUGCUGAUGCUCUUAAUGGGAUGUCUAUGGGCAGUUUUUCACAUAUUUAGGAAGGAAAGAGAAAUUUGGUCAAGAAUAUUCAUCAUCUUACUAAUCUGGAGUCUGACUCUUAGACUCUAAGGAGGGAAGUUGGCUUAUCCAUGAGAUAGAUAAGCCAUCCCUAUGUGCAGAAGUUAAGAAAAAUAGGCCAAAGAUUCUAUGUUGAUGCAGAUCAAGAGGGAUAUUGGUCAGCAAAAAGUUAAGGCAUUUGAGAUUGGAGGUAAUGAAAUAUUAAGAUACCAAGGUAGUUUAUGUGUUCCGGAUAUGGAUGGGUUGCGAGAAAGGAUUCUUGAUGAAGUUCAUACUUCCAAGUACAUUGUCCACCCCGGCUCCAUAAAAAUUUAUCAUGACCUGUAGGAGAUUUACUGGUGGAACAACAUGAAAAGAGAUGUUUAUAAGUUUAUGGCUAAGUUUUUGAACUAUCAACAAGUUAAGGUGGAGCAUUUAAGGACAUGUGGCACUUUCCAAGAUAUAGCUUUGCCACUAUGGAAAUGGGUGAUGAUCACCAUGGACUUUAUACAGGACUCUCGAAAUCAAUACCACACUAUUUGGGUGAUUGUGGACAAAAUGACCAAGUCUGCUCACUUUUUAUCAUUGAGCACAAAUUAUUCGGAAGAUGACUAUGCAAAGUUGUACAUUCAAGAAAUAAUUUGACUGCAUGCGCUCUAGAAUCCAUUAUAUCUGAUAGAGGUACUCAAUUUACUUCUCAGUUUUGGCGGUUUUUUUAGAAAGGUUUAGGUACCCAAGUGAACCUUAGCACUGGCUUCCACCCUCAAGUGGAUGGCAAGCGAAAUGUACCAUUCAGACUAUAGAAGAUAUGUUGAGGGCUUACGUUAUUGACUUUAAGGGUAGUUGGGUGGAUCAUUUACCUCUAAUAGAAUUUGCCUAUGAUAACAACUAUCACUCUAGCAUCCAAAUGGCUCCUUUUAAGGUUGUUUAUGGGAGAAGGUGUAGGUCACUGAUUGGUUGGUAUGAGGUGGGUGAAACCUGUUUAUUUAGACCUGACCUUGUUCAUCAGGCAAUGAAGAAAGUGAAAGUCAUUAGAGAGAGACUUAAGAUCACCCAAAGUCACUAAAAGUCUUAUGCCGAUGUUAGAAAAAGGAAGUUAGAAUUUGAGGUUGGAUAUUAUGUGUAUCUAAAGGUCUCCCCUAUAAAGGGAGUCAUGAGAUUGGGAAUGAAAGGAAAUCUUAGACAUCGAACAUAGGUCCUUACCAAAUUACAAAGAGAAUUGGUAAAGUGGUGUAUAAGCAAGAUUUACCUACAAGUUUAGCUUCAGUUCAUCCCAUAUUUCAUGUGUCAAUUCUUAAGAAAUAUGUUGGAGAUCAUUCACUUGUAUUUCCUGUUGAGGAGAUUAGUGUGAAAGAUUCUUUUUCGUAUGAGGAAGAACCCAUAGCUAUACUAUAUCAAUAAGUUUGGAAGUUAAGAACUAAAGAGAUCGCUUUGGUUAAAGUGUUGUGGAGGAAUCAGAAAGUUGAGGAAGCGACUUGGGAAGUAGAGAAUGAUAUGUGUGUGAGAUACCCAUCACUCUUUGAAUCAACGAAUGAUGAUAUAGAAGGUAUUGAUCUCUUAUCUUACUCAUUUUGGUUCUUGUAAGGCUUUAUAUCAUGCUUAACGUGGUUCGAACCUUCAUUCGGGGAUGAAUGAUCCCAAGGGGGAUAAUGUAACACCCUUAAAAUUUCAAACAUUUUAUUUUUGGCUUUAACACACUUGAAACAUCGAUCUUUUACUUAAAUUGUACCUUCGUAUUUUAAAGGGGUGUCUCAAAAGAGUUUUGGAAUUUUCAGGCAGGGCUCGAGGUAAUUUCAGACCCCAAAGGCAGUAAGCCUCUGUGAUAUCCCCAUGACGCGGAGGAUAAUAUCUGUGAUAGGGUCCAUGACACGGAGGAUAGCCUCCACAUUAAGGUUCGUGGCAUGGAGGCUAGCCUCUGUGAUAAGCUCCGUGCCGCGCUGCCUUGUAAUUUUCAAGCAGACGCUUAAGAUUAAGGAAGGGAUUUUUGGUCUUUCUCCUUUAUAACUCCUUUUCCAUGACUUAAAUCAUUCCUUAAACAUUAUAUCACCUCUGUAAAUCCCCAAAACAUUGUUCCAUAACAAAAAGGGAGAAACUACCUAGGGUUUAAGGAUUUUAAGCUUCAAGGAUCAAUUUUUCCAAGGUUCUCUUCAAUUUCAAGGUAUGUGGGACUAUCCUAAAUUCUCAUGGGUAUAAAUUUAUUGUUUUAACAAGCUUUAAAGAUAUGAAAUUUAUGUAUAUGUGAUGGGUUUUGGAAAUCAUCUGAAGAGCAUGCAUCAUGAACUCAUUUUGAUGCAAGUAUAUAUUUAUCAUGAGGUUUUUCCAUAAACUUGAGUUAUAAUCAUAUACAUAUAUGAUAUGAGAUUCAAAAAGUAAAUUAUGAGUAAUUUAUUAAAUUCCCUCUUCCAUGAUAGAAUUUAUGGUCUUAACAUGAUAUGGACUGUUCAAAUGUGUGAGCAAAAAUUGAGUUAAAUGUUUUACUAUCAUUUAUGGGUUUACAUUGCUCUAUGAUCCAAAUGAGAGUGCGUUCCUUGAUUAUAAAUGCUCAUUGUGUUAAAUGAAAGAAUUUUAAGUGAUAAAUGAAAGAAUUGGACACCAUGUGUUAGAGUCUUAAAAAGAGAGUUUUUUGCUUAAGUUUCAAAUACUUUUUGAAAUAAGUACUCUCAUGUGAUGUAAAGAAAUUCUUCUAGUGGUCACUUAAAUGUUUCUUGAAUUAGAAGAGCUAUGGACAUGAUAUAAUAUGGCUUGCAAGUAUAGGUAUGAUGAUACUUAUUACAAAAUGCCCUUAACAUGAAAACAGAGAAGGACUAAGCAAAGAGCGUAGUUUUAAACGGCUAAAAGUGGGUUUAAAGAGAAUUAGGUGGUUACUUGUAGAAGGCACGAUUUCAGAUAACGUAUUGCUCGACACCAUGUUUUAUCGAUGCGGGAAGUGAUUUUUUUCCUAAAAUAUAGAUUAUCACUGUAUACUUGUUUCUCACAAUUGUAUACUCAAACCAAACACUUUUACCCUUGCAGCAAACUCAGAUGGGGGGCUUGGCAGGCGAGUUAAUGUGGAUCCCAUAUAGCCCGUGGGAUAACAGACUUGUAGGGUGUACCAUCAAGCUCAGAAGUAAAGCAAAGAGUUGAGUCAGGAAUUACAAGAACGUUUAGAAACUCUUAAAUUAUGCCAAUGUGUUAUAUAUAUGUAUGUAUAUAUAUAUAUACAUACAUACAUACAUACAUACAUACAUACAUACAUAUAUAUAUAUAUAUAUAAUGCUAAAUUGAUUCCGCAAUGCUCUCAAUUAUUUUACAUGGAUUAUAUGUUAUUUUGGAUUAGUUUUGCAUACCAAUACACUGAUCCUUACAAUACAGGUUCUGAGGCACAGUCCAGUGGUCCUGCUCGGCAGUAGAUUUACCUCAGAUAGGAAGAGUUGGUAAGCCUCUCUUACUCCGGAAGGCAUUCUAUCCAUAUGUUAGUUUCAGUUAUUUUAUAGUCCAGUUGGGGGCCUUGUCCCGGCUUAGAUAGACUAGUAUGUUCAACUCAGUAGAGGCUUCGUAGGUUAGUUUAGAUUGGAUUUGGGUUUUCUUACAGAUUGUUGUCAUGAAUUAUUAAGUUUAACUAUGAAAUUUUCAUGUUUCAGUUUAUCCUCUGCAAUUUUAUUUCGUGUCAAUUAUGCUUGUGAUAGUAUGCUAAAGGGUCUAUCGGGCCCUUGUGGAUCGGGAUACCCAUUGCGGCCAGAGCCUCAACUCAGGUCGUGACAGUUAACUUUCGAAACCCUUUUUCGCUAUUUUUCAAACGAAGGAUCAAAAUGAGAUAUUCAAGGUUCCGAAAUCAAACCAACUCCGCCACUAAUCCAGAUUCGACAUUCCAAAUCAAUUGGCAUAGUCCAAAUUAUCAUCCGGCACUAGGAUCACGAGAUGUUAACCAAUAUCAACUAUUGACUCUUAAAUCCUCAAAAUAACCUUAAGUUCACCCAAAACCUUCCUGAAGGCCUUCGGAACUGUGUUAACCAUCCACACACACUAAAAUCAUGUGGUAAUUACAAGGAAGGAUAGAAUGGCCAAAACACAAAAAAUUUUAAAUAUCAUUUGAGGGUCAUUACACAUGCUUAAUUUAAAUUAUUGCUCUUACGGGGUUGAAGAUAUUUACAUUCGUGCAGUGACAUAAUAGAUAAACAUUGGCUACUAUAUCAAAUUCAAAGAGAUAAAUGAUUUAAAAUAUGUUAGAGAAGAAAAUUUAGAUUCUACGUGAUGUUUGAUUGAGUUUACUUUACUAGGAUUCUUUUUGAAAUUUAAGAAAGAGGACACACACAAGAACAAAAAAAAAUGAAAAAGGAUAGGAAAUAGAGGUUAUUCAAUUUAACUUUUACUAUCUUGUUAUUCGUGAUUAGCAGUUAAAAUUGUAACUAAUUGAUUUAAUGAUUUCAGUUUACUCUAACAUGUUUCAAAGAUUAGUUGUUGGGAUGGAGUCAGUUUAUUAUUAAAUACUGCUAGUAUGUGUCUUUUAGUUAAGAUACUAAAUAUUUUUGUGGAGGUUUAACAUAAGAAUAAUGGAAAUUAGCCAAAAGUUAAUUUUCAGAAGGAUUCGUUUUCCUUCUUUAGUUACUUGUUUUGGUUAUUUACUAGUGUCCAAUUCUUUAUGUAUUUAUUUUAAUCAUUGCAGUUUUUAAGUAAUUAGAUGUAAACCGUGAGUCUUUAAUUAGACUCUUUCAGAAAACGGUUUUGGGUCUAUACUAUGUUUAAGGCCUAACGUCAAUUAUAGAUGUGGUGCGGAUUUAUUGUACACCCCAUCACAAAAAAUGCGAGGGAGCGAUCGACUUACAGAUUAAUUUAUAAUACGUUGUGAAAUUGAAAGAAAAUAGAGGGAAACCCCAUUUGUAUGGGAGCAAGGCAAGUUGUGGACUAGUCUAAAACUCAUUGUAAAUUUAAGAGAAAAAAGUGAAAAGAGAGAAAUGAAUAAGAAAAUAGUCUCGAGUUUACAAGAGACGAACAAAUGUCUUUAACGCUAAAUAAACUUUAGGCUAGAUAAAUUUGAUUUCAAUUAAGAAUGCAGUUAUGCAUCUUUUGCGAUACGCUUAAUAACAAAAUAAAAAAAAUUCAAGGAUGCAGUUAUGCACCUUGACAAAAAUUGUCUUUAGAAAUCAAUUCAAAUUGAGACAUGUAUAGAGAGAUUAGUAUCGACGGUGCACUUGAGUUAAGAAGGUUAUAUGUCAAGGACUUAGAAUGCACUGAUGCAUCUAAGUUGAAACCAAUAAAAUAUUAAAAAAAUGACUUAAACCUACUACUUAAGUUUCUAUUAUUACAUAAAAUCCAAACUACCAAAAGUAAUUACAAAAAACCUUUUUUGACAUUUUCUCUCUUCAAACUUCAUAUAUCUCACAUACUCUCUUUUUUCUUAUGCUUAAUGCUCCUCAAAGAGUGGCUAAAAUCAAGGAACUUCAAUGUUUCCAAAAUUUUUCCAUUCUAUACACAACAAAAACUUCAAAAUUCAUCAGCUAUCAAUAUCAACAACAACAACAAACCCAGUGUAUUCCCACCUAGUGGGGUCUGGGGGGGUAAGAUGUACGCAGUCCAUACCUCUAUCUCUGAUGAAGUAGCAAGGCUGUUUCCGAAAGACCCCCGGAUCAAGGCACGAGAUACCACACAAACACAUAGUAAAGCACCAGCUAUCAAUAUCAAAGAUCUCAAUAAAGCAAUCAAAGUUUAAUUAAUGGAUCAUGCUACAAAAACUAUUGGUCCCAAUCAGCUCGCCUUCACUAUUCCACGAACAUUUGAGGAACACCAGUUCAAUCGGUCCACCAAAAGUUGGCAGCGAAGGUUGUUCAAAUUCCAAUCUAGUUCAUUGGGUUGGAUCCAAACCGGUUUGUUUCAUGGAAACUUGAGCCAGACCGGUCUAGUUCAGCUUUGAGCAACCACCAUAGUCAUCACAUGAUCGAUCAGUCUUGAAUUCAUUUUCAUAUCUUGAACCAGAUCUCAAAUUGCUCAACUAUUUAUAAUAUGAUACAUAACACAGAUAUGUAUAUUUAUAAGGUAAAGGGCUUUAUUGCUAAAUCUAUAUAUUUUUGUCAAUUUUCACAUUCUUAUACAUAGCUAUAAAGUAUCACUUGUUGUCAUUUCAACUUUAAUACAGAGAUUAGUUAUGUAUAUGGUUGCCGAAGUCGUUUGAGAUCUGUUGUUAUUUCACUCCUUUUUGAUAUCUGUUGUUAUUUCACUCCUUAUACAUAACAAUGUGAUGUAUAUGAAUGGUUUACUUCUAAUCUGAUACAUUUCAUAGUUAUGUAUAUUGAUUGGAGAUUCCUUGUUAUCAUGAUAUUUUUUCACUUCUGAUACAUAAUUAUGUUAUAUAUAUAUAUGAGUAUUCAUAUACAUAACAAUGGAAUGUUCAUCUUUUUGAGAAAUUUUUUAAAAGAAACAGAGCUUGAAAAAAUAAUAAAAUUUUGAUCAAAAAUACAAAAUCCGAUGUUGUUUGAUCGACUACAUUGAUUUGGUGUUUCAAAAUUUAAAAUUUAAAGUUGUUACUGAUUUUAAGGGAUUCAUUAAUCACACAUUAACAAGGUGCAAUCUUGUAUGAUUAUUAGACAUCAUUUAUUUCCUUAAAUAUAGGAAGUUAGUUCUAAUCACUCAAAGUUAGGAAAAACUUCUAAGUUAAUCAGUUUUCUCAAAGUUUUAUAAUUGACAUGUCCUAAACGUUCAUGCCAUAAUUCAUUUGACUCAAGCAAGUACGAAUAAGCAUCAAUUUUCUUUAUUUCAACAUCCAUUACAUCAAGUUUGAAAAGGCCCUCAUUGAGGUAGCCCCUUCCUACAUAUAUUUCAUUCUUGCUUAUUAUAAUUAUCUCCAAAACAAGCACGCACUUAAACUUGAUUUUAACAAUAAGUAUUGUCGACACUAAGUUCUUUCUAAUAGCAGAAACAUAGAGAACAUUGUUGAGAGUCAACAUCUUAUCGGAAGUCAUUUUUAGGAAUAUCUUCCCACUUUCUUCAACCUUGGCUGUUGCAUUAUUUUCCAUGAAGAUUAAUUCUUUGGGACCAGCGGUAUCAUAAGUAGCAAAAACUUUUUUGUUCGCACAAACAUGUCUAGUGGAUCAUGAAUCAAACCACCAUUCAUUUGGAUAUCUAACUAGAUUGCUUUCAGUGAUCAUAGCACACAGUUUUUCAAUCUUUUUCGUUGUUUCCAACAUGCUUAUUUGAUCUCUUUUCUUGUUCUUAUUUAUAACUUGACUACUUAGAGUUUUGUGGCCAACAUCACUAUUAUUGUAGUACUUGCCUUUGAACAUUUUCUUGUUCUGCUCUGUCUCUUGUCCAGAAGACUUCUUUAUCUUCUUAUUAUUUGGAGCAUCAUCCCUAAUAGAAUUUACAACCAUCAUUGAUGAUUUCUCAUUCAACUCAUUAUCAUCUUCUAUCUUGGGACGGUAACAAGAUCUUUCAAAUCAAACAAUUAAUUUUCAAUCAUUAUUUUAUUUUUAUUUUUAAAUAUGAGGAUCUAUACUUGUGAACAUUUACUUGAUAUCAUUUGCUGUCACUCUUUAAAGUUUACACUAAAAUAUUUUUUUGAUUCUCUGUCAUUUUCAUUUCUAGAGCAAUAUUUUAACGACUUAAUGACGCAACAUUGAUUGUCAUUGGGACAACACCAUUUACAACUGAAUUAAUUUCUUGAUCAGUUUCAUUCAUCAUUUUUCUGUCAAUCUUUGACAUACACCUUAGUAUUUAAGAAUGCUAACAACAAAAACUUUAAUCUUUAACCAACUUAUUUCUAGUCAAUGGUGAAGUUCUUAUAUUUUCAAAUCAUCAACCGAAUGAACUUUGAAACCUAACAAAGUUUUUAUGACAUCAAAUCAGAAUCAAAUUCAAAUAAAGUGAAAACCCACAGAUUUUAAACUCCAUAAAUCAAUAUAGAGAGUUUACCAAAUCAGUGAAGUUUUUAUAUUCUUCGAACCAAAUUUUCAUACUGAUUUCUCGGUGAAGUUCUUAUAUUCUAACCAAGGAGUAGAAAUCAAAAGAUUUUACUCUCCACAAAAUCAGACCCAAUACAGAUUAAUCAAGUACUUGAUUUAUAAAUGGUGGUAAAUUUUUUUUCUUUUUCACCAAACAAGCACAAUUUUUUUUUCUUUUUAAUUUCCUUAAGAUUGUUAUUUUUUCUCAGGUUUAGUAAAAUCUGUAUUUUUCAAUAAAAACUUCAAACACAUGUUCAAAUAAUCAUACGAACAAUCAAAUGAAGUUUAAACUUUGUAUUUACAACUUUGAACUUUUAACAAUAAGUUCAACCCAACUUAUUAACAUUAACAAAACGAAGUUCAAACUAUUUUGUGAAAAUAGCAAAACCAAAUGUUAAGAACUUCAACAAAAGUUCAACCAGCUAAUGAAAUAUCAAAAUGAUGUUUCAAGAACUUCAAACACAAGUUCAAACAGUUGAACAACUAUCAACAUGAAGCUCAAACUAUUUUCUAGAAAAUGGUAAAAGCAAUUUUAAGAAAAAGAGAUGAAACAGAAAGAUUCAAGUCCACUGAAUUCAUGGUGUGUCCUUAAGAAAAUUAUUUCCCUCUAGUACCCAAGGUUAUGGAAUAUAUCCUCUUAGGAUAAAAUGAAUCACUUCAACAGAAUAAUAGUACUUCAAAUUUUGUCGAACUAUGAACACACUCAAUGGCAACAAAUUAUAUUAGAGUUUUUUUCAAGUAAAAAGAGUGUUUUUCUUCAAAGUUUCAUGUCUAUACCUGAGGAAAAAUUCAGGAAUUUAUAGCCAUCAAGGUUUUGCUUCAUGAAGAGAAACAAUGGUUCAAAAAGGUACACCCCUUCAUGAAUGUAUAAUUCUUCGAAAAAGGUGAAACUCUUCAAAAAAAGUCACAACCCUUUGGAAAGGUCAUAAACGUCCAAUCCAAAAAGGUACCUAUUCAAAUUGCAUCAUUUCUCUUGGUGUCUUUCUGAAAAAAUACCUAUUCAUUUUCCAUUCAUACCUCUUAAAACCUCAAUAUUCAUUUCAUGAGCUUCUAUUUUUUCCUCCAAACAUUUCUUUUCUAGGGCUCUACCAUUAGUCAUAUUAUGGCCUAAUUUUCUGCAAGGACUGCAGAAUUUAGAAAUGUUUUCAUACUCUAGUUUAUGCUCCUAGCUUCCUAGAGGACUUUUAUCAUCCUCAGUUCCUACCCACGCUUUGUGAAUAAAAGUUUUGAGUAGAUCAGUCUCAACUCUUAGUUUAGCCAUGAUCAGUCUAUUCAUAAUUUUAGUAGAAAAUAUCAAGUUUGAAUGGAGUGCUUGCCUCUUCUACAAUUUGACGAAUAUAAUGCCAAUUUUGUAUAUGAAAUGAAAAAUCUGACAUUAGAAUUCAUACUGGAACUAUGGGUAAAUCACUCUAGCUUAAAGUAUGACAUCCAUUUUUAAGCGAAAUUUAAUGCUACCUCUACCUCAAUUACUCGCUUAUAUCUUCAUCAUUUGUGAAACUCAUAGAAAUGUUGAAAUUAUUGUAUACGCCGCUCUUGACAGAACCCUUGAGAUGGAAUUUCUCUAAAAAAUUUAGACCUAACUAUGUCAAUUCGGGGUCUAAUUUUCUGAAAUCUCCCCCCUAUUGUCUUUCUACAUUGAUUUGUCAUUAUACCAUAGUAAUCUUCCUCAAAAUCACGGUCGGCGUCCCAUUGUGAAUUGUUCUUCUAGCCUUCACCUUUUGUUACCACUAGUGAUUGGUGCCCAUAGCAAAACUAGGUGAACUAAUUAGUGUUAUAGCAUAGUUAUCACGAUCCGAACCAGGGCCUAGCCAUGAAGAGUAUCUCAAGCCCACCAUAGAUCAGAGACCACCCUUAUCGCCUAACCUCAUGAGCAUAAUGAUAAUAAUAAUGACAAUGCAAAAGUCAACUCAAAAUAGAAUAAAGAGAUGAAUAGAUACUCUAUGAAAUCUAGGAGUAAAUCAAUAUCCAACCAACCCACAUCUGUCCACAAAAGCCUCUAACAACUGAAUAUCAACCUAAGUUGGACAUGCCCCCGAUUGUAGCCAAAAAAGAACCUAAGACAUAGUCUAAAGCAUAGAAAAUAAACUAUGAAAUGACUGUAUUUCCAGAGAAUGGAAGCUCAGUACUUCAAUACAACUCCAUAGACGUGUUAAUCCACCUAACACUACACAUGGGUAAAAGAAGUAUCUCUGAACCCUAUAUUAUGAAACAAUAUAUCAUCCUAGGAUGGUUAGCAGGGUGAGCACUGGCAUGUAACGCAGGAAUAAGGGAUAAAAUAAUGUCAUGAUCAAAUCAGUCCAAAAUCAUUCAAAACCAUAUACACAUAUUCAUAUACACAUAUAUAUAAGAUGUCGGGAUAGGAAAUAAGGUUUAGUAUGAAAGUUAAAAUUAUUAACCUAGAUUGUGUAGCUUUAACCAUCAUAAGAGGCACCCCAUGGGCUAUAUGGGUCCGGCUUUCCCCACUGGAAGGGCCCCAAUGUAGUUAGCCACAUGAACCGGUGGUAUAAGGAAACCAGGGAAUACCCUCGACCCCACGCCAAUCCAGGAUACAAAUGUAUAUAAAUUGUGACACAUGCAUACGGUCAUUAAAACCAACCCCCACACUGGCAAACGUGGGUUUCUAGUAUCGAUCUCUAAGGACAUCCACCUUAACGGCGAGCUACACAAUUUCCUUUAAGCCCAAUUAAAAUAUUUACACAUUCUCAUUUAUUAAACCAAGAAUCAUCCAUUAAGGCACAUAUCAUUGGUAUUGUCAUACCAAUUAUGCUUGUAAGAUAAUAUAAUUAUGUCAUUCCUAUUAUCCAUCAACCUGGGGAAUGCUACGACCCACGUAAUUUAUCAAAUCAAUUUAGGGGGAUACUAUGACCCCCGUAGUUUCAAUUUUAAAUCAAAAUAUGGCCACCAAGACCUUUCCAAAAUAAUUUGUGUUCCAUUUAGCCAUUAAUGCAAUGUAAUAAUUUUAAAAGUGGUUUCAAUAUACAUAUAUCCAUAUUUCAAAAUCAAUUUAUAAAAAGGGGUUGAGGUUAAUACCAAUUCCAAACCAAAGUCAUCAAUUUGGGGGAAUGCCAUGUCCCCCAUUCCAAUCCACCAUGUCCAUGCACUCAAUUAGUUCAAAACCAUCAAUUCAAAGCAUGAAUAAUUUACAAAAUCAUGGAAAAAGCAAUUCAACCAAAUAAUAUCCAAAAGCCCUCAACCCAAUUUCAAAGCCGACAAUUAAAUUCAUAUGGGUAACAAUUAAACACAAGCUUUUAACAAAAUAAGUUAUAGGGAAGAGAUCCAUUCCUUUUUUACUAAAGAAAUUCGAAUAAAAGCUUGAAUCCUUAACUUUGAAGCUUGAAUCCUAGCUUAAAAUUGAUAUGAAUACUUGUAUUUAGUUUCCAUGUCUUUGAUGAUGAAAUUGGGGAGAAAACAUUGAGAAGAAACUUGAAUUUGAAGCCUUAGAAGUUGAAUUUUGGAGAACCCUUAUUUAGUAUUCUUGAGAAUUUGGGAUGAGAGAGAUUUUAUAUUUGGGGUUAUGGGAUGAUGAAUUCACGUUAGUAUUAGUUAUAGGUUGAUUUAGAACGUAAAUGACUAGUUUUUCCUCGAAAAACUAAAGAUAAAUGCGGGCUUUAGCGUCUCUAGAAAUAGGGGCAUGCCACGCCCUUAUCGUGCACCUUCACUAAUUUCUCACGAAAAUGCUCAUUACUUUUCGCUUGGGUAUCGAAUUAAGGAGAAAUCGAUGGAGUUGGAAAGAGAACUCAAUUAUCUUUAAUUUGAUGGGUCUUGAGCUCCAAAAUUACAUAUAUUUCAGAAGUUAUGCACGUUCAAAAUUGACUCUUGUAGGAUAAAUACUAAAAGUUGGUCGAUAACAAAAGUUCUUAACUCAACUUUGCUGUAAGUAUUUUCUAUGAAUAUUUUUUACCUCGAAAGUAUUUUUCACACUAGAAAAAUGAUCAUGAUACUUAUAUUUACAUGGAAAUCAUUGGUUUUGAGUUUAUACAUGUAGGAACAACGGUUCGAAUUCUAUCCCUAAAAUGCGGGGUGCUACACUACUAAACCUUGUUAUCCAAGUAAGGAAGAGGUCGCUGACGAUCUCAUAGAGGGAGUAGAAAAGUAAGAGUCUGGAUUUAUCGAACUAGUAUCUCAACACGUGCACGUAUAUGUCGAAUCAUGUAAUAUUUUUUAAUAAGUAGAAUAUUAAACUGUAACUUAGUCAAUUUUUUGAUUCAGUAGUUAUCUUUAAUGUAAAUAUAGAUAGAUAAUCUCCAAAAACUACUAAGAAUAAAAAGAUUUUGAAGAAUUAUGAAGCAAAAUGAUGGAAUUAAGAACACUAUUUUUCAAUGCAAUGUCAACACAAGUUCCUUUUAUUUUAAAAUAAUACAUAAUUGAUAUUUCAAUUAACUUACCAAUAAUAAUUAUAUUAUUUUUACGAGAAAAUGGUCAAAUACCCCUCUAACCUAUAGGUCAAAUUUUAAUUACACACUUAUACUUCACGGGGGUCCCAUGACCCCAUUAAACUUUUUAUUUUCUUUAUUAUUUGACCCUUAAAUGUUGACUGUCAUAGAAGGUGAAAACACCUCCUCUAGGCACAUAAAAUCUAAUAUCCAACACCUCAUUUUUUUAAAAAAAAAAUGUACACGUGGCAAUCCAAAUCAACCCAUAUUAAGGAUUCUAUGUAUUUUUUAUUUUUCAAUUAAAUAUCUCUAAUUUCUCAACCAUUUUAUCCUAAAAUAAUCUUUCUUCUUCUUGUAUUUUCCUCCAUUUUUUCAAAGAUUGAAGGUUGGAUUUAGUUGUCAAAGCUUUUGACUGUAAUUUCCACUCAAAAACUUAGAGAUUUUAAGUCUGUAAUCUUCUUCAAUUUCAAAUUUAGGACUUGAAGUAGAGUCCAUGUGGGGCUAUGCAACAAUAUCCAAGCUUUACACUUGCAGCUGUAUUGACACCACCAUUUAUGUCCAAAUUUCCCAACUUCAUUUUUUACCUCAAUGAAUGGCACCAAUGAUUUUCAUUUUCGCCAAUUUGAUAAGAUGAAAUUAGGUCUUCUAGGUCGAAUCUUUGGCCUCAAAUAAUGGUCUCUGUUUGUAGAAAUCUGAAUGUAUAUUGAAAUUGACACCUAUUCUCACAAUCAAAUAUUUCAUAUCUAGGAUCUCUUCUCUGUAGAUGGGAAUUAAGCUUUGUAACAAAUUUUUUCAAGAAGCUAAAAAAAUAGAGAAAAUAUACAUUAGAGGCUAGCCCAAAUGCCUCUAAUGUUUGGAUAAUAUCAUGUGAAAAUAUAUACAAAAAAUAUAAAUCAACAAUAAUCUUGAAAGUUUUCAUGCAUCUAAAAGUGAGUUAAAGAAAAAGUUGUUCUUCCCAAAAGGAAAGGUGAAGAAGAAAGGUGGAAAAGUGGGGUCCACUUGAUUAGAAUUAAGAAGGAAAAAUAAAAGAGAAAAAAAGUGGGCCAAGCGUGUGUAGUCAAACAAGUGCAUAUAUCUAAUUUAGGUAGACAUGUCAUCAUUUAAGGGCCAAAUAAUAAAGAAACUAGAAAGUUUGGGGGGGCGGGGGGCGGGGGGGGAGGUCAUAGGACCCCCGUGAAGUAUAAGUGUGUAGUUAAGGUUUAACCUUAGGUUAGAGGGGUAUUUGACGAUUUUAUCUUAUUUUCACUGAUACCAGUACAGAAAUUAAAUUGGUCUAUAGUUUGUUUCACUAUACAAAGAAGGGUACUAAUCUUUUCAGACUGUAAAUUUUUAUUACUUAUUAGACGUUAAUUUUCAUUAUUUCAUUUAGUCCUCUUCAUUUGUACAUUGUUAAUUCUUCUUCCUCUUCAACUAUAGUUGCAUCAACAUUUUUAAGUUCAUGUAUAUCUUGAGUAAUUAAAAUUUUUGCGAACAUUUUACUUUUCUUAUUAUAAAGAAGUGAAUUUCUUCAUCUUCUUUUGACAUCAACUUGAAACAAUACGUAGAUUUUUACUUCUAUAACAUUAAAGAUAUUGCAUAUGUAAAAAAAGAACUUUUUGUUUCAGAAAAGCUUCUCCUCAUUUGAUUGAAAACACCUUCUUUUUAAAUAAAAUAGCUCUACAUUUUGUUCAUCUUCACAAAAAAGUACACCAUGACUUACAAAAGUGAUUUACUACUCCCUUUUUAGAUUUGAGGCUAUCAAACUAUUCUAAUAAAGAUGAUGUAAAUGAAAAAAGAUGCACUUUGUCACUUAAACAUAUCAACAUUAAAUCAUACACCAAGUGAACAGUCAGUUGAUACUACUCAAAAAUAGCAAAGGCAGCAGUAUCUCUCAAGGUGGCGGAUCCUAAUUGAAUACACUUUCAGACAAUUAAUAUACUAGUAUACUGAGGAUACUAGUAAUGCUUUAAUUUUGAAAAAAUUAGAGAAACUAGCAUACAUAAUACCUUAAUUACAAUAAAUAGCAACACUUUUUUAAAAUUACAAGUUAUAGCAAACGUAACAAUAGUUUAACCAUUAUAUUAAAAAACGCAUGGAUUUCACCCACUUUUUUACCUUUCCCUAUUUUCACUCAACUUUUUUCAAUUCCCUCCCAUAUUUCACUCCACUUUUUUCAAUUCCCCCUUAUAUUUCACUCCACUUUUUUAAAUUAUUUUUUCUUUUUUUCAAAAUUGUGAUCCAUCAAAUAAAGUAAGUUGAUAUUUACAGUAUUUAUUGUUGAAUACUCAUUCCGAUCACAUCAGCAGCAGGUACAAAAUUGCUCUUUUUCUUCUUCAUCUUUAUGUAGAGAAACAACUCAAUGUGGUUGUUCAAAAGCAUAAAAUUGUCUGUUUAAGAUUCUCAAAAUUAUCUUCACUGUCCCACCACACAAUAAUUGUUGCUACAAAGAUGGAUGUAACGGAUUUACUAUUAUUGACUUUAAUAUUGGGUUUAAUAAUUUUAAUAAUGUUCCAUCAAAAAAGAUGGAAGAGGAAGAAUCUGGGUUUCCGGUUGGUGGUGGUUUUGCUAAUGAAGAGAGGCUUGUUGUGGCGGAGUGCAGUAGCGUAGAUUUUGUGAAAUGCUCUGACAAAUGCAUUGAUUUUUAUUUUUUCGUAUUUUUUUCUUCAUCCAUCUUCUUCAUUUUUCUUUUUUCUUUUUUUUGGGGGGGGUGAUUUUUUUAGUAUAUUCCCACAUAGUGGGGUCUAGGGAGGGUAGA
This 48845-nucleotide long non-coding RNA is filed under the name Capsicum annuum. RNAcentral's name for it is "long non-coding RNA (CANN_LNC020567)". The record is from RNAcentral. Lineage: Eukaryota; Viridiplantae; Streptophyta; Magnoliopsida; Solanales; Solanaceae.